This 62140-nucleotide long non-coding RNA is filed under the name Triticum aestivum (bread wheat). Its description in RNAcentral is "long non-coding RNA (TAES_LNC012293)". Lineage: Eukaryota; Viridiplantae; Streptophyta; Magnoliopsida; Poales; Poaceae. The record is from RNAcentral.
UGUUUUUUGUUUUGUGGUGGGGGUGGGGGGGUUGAUUUCGUGAAUUAUUUGUGGGAAUAUGUAUCGAUGACAUCUCAAACAAAAUUUUGCAUGCAAUGUGUGUGAAAUGGAGGCAUAUCCAUAUCAUACAUAGAGGGUCGGGCAAUCCACAAGAAGAGAGGGAGGGGUCAUAGCUAUCGAUAGAGUCGAAGAGAGGAUCAAGUACGGGUGGGUGCGAGAUCGAUGAAGAGAGCCAUCGAAAUUGCGUGUGUGUGUGUGCAAGUCAAAGAUAUAGGGCGACUGGCCUACCGGAACGUUAGAGGGCACAUGUCAAGUUUGUGUGUGGCAAGGAGACANNNNNNNNNNNNNNNNNNNNNNNNNNNNNNNNNNNNNNNNNNNNNNNNNNNNNNNNNNNNNNNNNNNNNNNNNNNNNNNNNNNNNNNNNNNNNNNNNNNNNNNNNNNNNNNNNNNNNNNNNNNNNNNNNNNNNNNNNNNNNNNNNNNNNNNNNNNNNNNNNNNNNNNNNNNNNNNNNNNNNNNNNNNNNNNNNNNNNNNNNNNNNNNNNNNNNNNNNNNNNNNNNNNNNNNNNNNNNNNNNNNNNNNNNNNNNNNNNNNNNNNNNNNNNNNNNNNNNNNNNNNNNNNNNNNNNNNNNNNNNNNNNNNNNNNNNNNNNNNNNNNNNNNNNNNNNNNNNNNNNNNNNNNNNNNNNNNNNNNNNNNNNNNNGGUGUGUGUGUGGGGGGGGAGGGGGUGGGGGGAGGGGUAGGCAGAGGCCUAACUAUAGAGGUAGAACGACUCGUAUAUGUGUUGAGAAGGAGGGACCCAGCUAUGUCAUGAGGGAGAUCGGUUGACAUCCAUACAUAACUGAAGGACGGGAAAUAUGAUGGGAUAGAGAGAGAGAGGAGAGAGAGAGGAGAGAGAGAGGAAGGGAGAGGGAGGGAGAGGGGUAUAGUGCUGGAUGGGUGAUGGAGUUGCUUCUCGGAGAUGUUGGGAGAGGCCUACUAGACAAACUGAGGGUGGAACUACAAUGUUAUCAAUAAGAGUGGGGAUGUGUUUCUGUGUGUGCCUAUGCAUGAUAGAUCUGUCAGGGCACAUCCAUGGAUGAUGAAGGGGGACCAUGUGUUUGGUAAGCAAACCUAACUAGAUUAGUAGAUCAAUUGUUGUUUGUCGGAGGAAGGGAGAGACACAACUAAUGAGGUAGAUCGAUCGAUGUGUGGGUAAAAACGAGUUAUAAGGACCUAGCUGGCUAUAUGUAUAGCGAGAGAUCGGUUGGUGUACGUCCAUUUGUUAGAGGCAAAUAAGGCCCAGCGAGACGGAUAGACAGAGAGAAUGGAGCUAGGAGGUGGUGCGAGAGGCCCAACUACUAGCUGGAUAGGGGGAGGAGUGUGCGGUUGUGAGAUCGAUUAAAAGAGGGGUGAGAGUUUACACGUGUGUCUGACCAUAUGAGAGACACGAGGCAAGGACACAUAAAGGAGAUUGAAGCUGUGUGUGUAUGCUGUAGGCAGGCAUCGCUGGAGAGGUUUAUCGAUCAGUGUGUGUCGGAAAGGAGUUGUGGAGACUCUGGGAGAACAACCUAAAGGAAAAAAAUGAAUGUGCCCGGUGGAUAGAAUGUCGAGGGAGGGGGAGGGCGAGGAGGGCGUGUGCAUGCACGAGAGAAAGUUAGUGGUAGCUACAAAGGUUAGAGGACUGUGUGGGUGUAAGAGACUAACAAAGAUCAUAAUUUGAUAUGAAAGCGUAUUCAUAUAUUUGAAUAGGAGAUCAUACUGUUUUAAACAUUUCAUGCAUGAAUAUAGUGGUGAUACACGUGCUGUGCACAUGUUAUACCAUAAUGUGAUAAUGCAUGGCGUUUGCAACUCACAGCUAAAUGCCGAACAAUCUAAACCAUACUACACAUCAAACAAUCUCACAUUUUAUUUGAAUUUGUGAUAAUGUGCGGCAUUUACAACUUACAACUAAAUAUCGAGCAAUCUAAACAAUACUAUAUAUCGAACAUUCUCACAUUUUAUUUGAAUUUCUGGUAAUGUGUGGUGUUUGCAACUCACAUCUAAAUACUUGUAGGCGUAGGGGGCGGGGCACCAUACAUAAUGUGAUAAACACAUUAUACAUAUGAGACAUGGUUUAGAUUAUGAAGAUCUAGCUAGAGCUAGAAAUGUAAUGUGUUUUGAAAUCAAAAUAAAGUGGAUUUAAAAAAUCUAGUUCGAGUUCAUAUAGUACACAUAGUUCAUAUGUAACUCGAUACUAAUCAUGUGGUGUGCUGUGAAGAUAAUACACAAACGAUGGUUUAACUUGACAAUAAUGAUGAUUGUAGAUCUUAUUAGAACAGAGAAACGAAUUCAAAUGCUUUGACUUCACAACAAUCAUUACUGUAGAUCUUAUUCAAAUUUAGUUCAUAUUGAAGCGCUAGUAUAUACGUUUGGAAUGCACUAAAAUGUUCAUUUGAGUAGUAGGUUGCAUGCAUAAUACACGUAGCGAAAUAUUUUAAUUGAACAUAACAUGAAUUCAAAGUUUUGAAUGACAUUUGUAGUGCGCAUUGAUUUGGUACAGUACACGUUAGGAUUGUCCAGAAAUUUUAACCUACGCCUUGUUAUCCCGAAAUAUUUAAGAUAUAUCUUUGUCUCGUUGUGCUCCGACAACUCCCUCCAUCUCAACCCGCUCCUUGCUAUUCCGAAAUUACAGCGCGCGCGAAAACUCCCACCUCCUGUGAAAUCCCGACACGUGAAAUGCCCGUGGUACCCCUGAACCGAAAGAACCGCCUCAAAUCGGUGGGGGGUACUUUCGUAACUUACCCCACAUUUCGGACAAGCGUGUCUCUAAGCCAUGGUUCCCCACUGCCAUCCCAUCCGCCCACCCAUUUGUACACCAAGGCCGCGAAAACCCGCGACGAAACCCCACACCCUGCUCCGUCCGCCACCCAGCCGGAGGUUCUUCCGCGACGACGUCGUCCACAGCAAUACCUCGACGUCCCUCAUCCACCGUACCAGAUGAGGAUCCGUCGUCGAUCUCAUCAUCCCGCCGGUUCAGCCACCCCGUCCUCCACCUCCAAGGAGCUGCCCCGAUGUUCCCCUCGUCUUUCACGCCACCUCCAUUCCCACACCGCCGUCUUCACCUGCACCACUGGAAGAGCAUCGUCAUCACCGUUUCCUCGGAUGAAGCUGCGGCCUAAUUGGUGCCACCAAAGAGGUUGUACACUAAUCGCCAAAUUUUCUUCUUGAUUCGAUCUCAUGGUGCUGCCGGCGCUCGGUCCCGAGCCGACACGGCGUGGCUCCAUCCACGGCAGCGUCACCGGCCACUUCCUCCACGGUGUCGCUCCCUCGGCGGCGACGUCCACAUCAGUAGGAGCUGCUGCUGCUUUAGCUCUUGCUCGCGCUGCUGCUCUGCUCUUGAUCUCAGUCCCCUGCCUAGUCUGCUCUUGCUAUUGCUCUUGCUCGCACUGCUGCUCUCGCUCUUGCUCUUGCUUGCGAUGCUGCUCUGAUUUGGCUACACUUCAGUCGACUCAAUCGACUUUUGGGUCAGUCGAUUUCCAAGGGGUGGGCUCGCCGGGGUGAAGGAAGAACCAGCCGUAGCGGGAAGGGGGGCUCGCCGGAGAGGUACCCCACUAUCUAUCUUAGGGUUCAGGAUGGGGGCGGUGGNNNNNNNNNNNNNNNNNNNNNNNNNNNNNNNNNNNNNNNNNNNNNNNNNNNNNNNNNNNNNNNNNNNNNNNNNNNNNNNNNNNNNNNNNNNNNNNNNNNNNNNNNNNNNNNNNNNNNNNNNNNNNNNNNNNNNNNNNNNNNNNNNNNNNNNNNNNNNNNNNNNNNNNNNNNNNNNNNNNNNNNNNNNNNNNNNNNNNNNNNNNNNNNNNNNNNNNNNNNNNNNNNNNNNNNNNNNNNNNNNNNNNNNNNNNNNNNNNNNNNNNNNNNNNNNNNNNNNNNNNNNNNNNNNNNNNNNNNNNNNNNNNNNNNNNNNNNNNNNNNNNNNNNNNNNNNNNNNNNNNNNNNGGGGCGGCGGUGGGGAGUGUUUUCGGGGCGAUGGGGGCGGCGGGGGGCUGCUGUUUGGCCGGUGGUGGCUGGCGGCUCAGGGGGGUGGAGGUUGAAGAUGAACCACAGGCCCUUGAUUUCGUAUCCAACGGCUGCAAAAUCGACUGACCAGAGAUGAAAAAGUCAGUCGACCGAUGUGUAGCCUCACCUUGCUAGUGCGUUCAGUUUCGACAACAAAAUUCAGUUUCGACAGCAAAAUUCAGUUUGGACAGUUAGGUUCAGUUUCGACAGUUAAGUUUAGUUUCGACAGUUAAGUUCAGAGAUGAGCGGCUGAUGUAAUUUACAUCUAGCACUUUGUGGUUAUGUAUUUUACAUCAUGUAUUGGAGAUGCUAUUAUAAUUCCACUCAGGUUAACGUUGUUCGUUGUCUCUCUUGUCCUGCUUCAGCCUCGGUGUCGUACAACUCACAGGAGCUGCUCCAACGAUGAAACCCUCCAUCACAGCGGAGCAGUACCUCGGGCUCCAUCUCCAGACGCCUAAGAUCUUCUUCCCCUCCUCCGACAGCAAAGUCAGCCGGAGCAUCCUCACCGGCCAACCCAAUCACGCUGAGAUCGACAUGGCUUCGCCAAAGAGGUUGUACACUUGUUGCAUCUCUUUUUUACUCUACAUGUUAUAUAUAUUGUCCACUGAGCACACAGAUUUGUUCCUUUAGUGUCUCCUUGAAAGAAAAAACGUAGAAAUUUUAAUUUUCACUUGUCCUCCUUUUCAAAUUCCUAUUCAUGAAGCACAAGACUAAGAGAUAGUAGCAUAAUAACAUUAUAACCGUACAUUUUCUUGUGGUUUGACUUAAUCUCACCAUGCUUCUUUGCAUCCUGUGAUCUUCCAAUUGUUGUGAAUCAAACACCCAGAUUGGCAGAAAUCCUGUGUUUUUAAAUUCUCUGUUUUGCACGUGCAGUCCUAUCCUAUUCUUGUCUAUUUCCUAUCCCUGCAUUGUUGGAAUCCUCCAAUUCAAACGAGCCCUUACAGAAUUACUUCUCUUACAGAUAGUUGUGAAAGAAAACCUUGCGUGGUUUGUCCCGGUCCUGCUGCGCCGUCGUCCACCCCAGCUCCGCUGCUCCAACGAUAGAAGGGUCCAGCAAAGUAGGGAUCCGGCCUCCAGACUGUCUUUCGCCACCUUAGAUCUUCUUCCCCGCUGCUGGCACCCAUGAAAACUGCAUUACCAUCAUCAACCGAGCAGAUGACCUCGAGGACUACACGGGUCCGCAAGAGAGGUCGCACUCUUUCGUGUCUGCUUACGUUAUGCAUCGCUUAAUAUUACAUGCUACCUUAUCGUCCUGUUCACCGAUUAGACUCUAAGUCAGCUCCAAACUAAUGGUCAAACUUGAGUUUCUAAAUGGUUGUGGGGUACAUAUCGGGGCCGCUAUCAAUAGUAUCUAUCUACUAUCUGGUUAAUCUCCGGUGUCUACUAUGAGUUUCAUGUUGGGUGGGAAACAAACAGUAAAGAAGCCAUUAUCUGUAUUUAUUAACUGAAGCCAUUAUCUGCGUGCUAUUAUUGGUUUUGGGUCUAUCCACAGGUUGCUACCAUCACUCUGGAUUUGUGCAUGCACUCCUUACAUAAUCUCACUAUGUUUUAUUCCUAUGCAUGACAGUUAUUGCAAACAAUGGAACUGAACAUGUAGAGCAAAAGAGACAAGCAUUGUGUGGCAAUAUAAUUUCAUGCAGACGUCGCUCCAUGGUACGCGCAAAGGCAGCCCCCCUCCACGCAUUUCGGAUUGUAAUCGAGAGGAAGAUAUCUGUUCUGAGGGGGAUUCAGAAGGAGAAUAUAACUCCUAUUUACCCCCUGAGGUCUUCGCUCUAACUUGGCAUGUUGAUGUUGGUUAUAUCAUGCAUAUGGUGUCUUGCAUUGCUUACUUUAUACAUCAAAUAUGUCAUCUGCUUAGUUUAGACAUCCUUUGUGCGAAUGCCAUCUGUUUAGUUUAUUCAUCGUUUAUGUGAAUUAUGCAACGCCACCUUGUUUAGCUAGGCAUCAUAUAUGUGAAUUUUGCAAUGCCAUCCCGCUUAGCCAGUCAUCUUAUAUGUAAAUUAUAUCAGGCCAUCUUUUUUUUCGUUACAUAUUACAUUCAUCAACAAUGCUAGUACAUUCAACUACUCUUCGUGUGCAUCAGCCAUUUGACACGGUGAUGGCAAAUUCUGGAGUGAAAACAAGGUCUUCUGAGCAGACUAUGCUAUCUGACGAAGCGCAUAUGUCGCUGGUUACGAAUAGCUCCUCAGAGGAGGAUUCAGAGACAGAUGACCAGUCCUAUCCCCCCCCCCCGAGGUGUAUGCUCUAACUUGGCAGGGUUAUGUUGCUCAUAUCGUGUGUAUGGUGUCUCGCAUUGCUAUGCCAUUUGAUUAGUUUAGACAUGCUUUGUGUGAAUGCCACCUGUUCAGUGUCUAAUUACCAUAUAUGUGAAUUAUGCAUUGCCAUCUUGUUGCAAGACAUUAUAUAUGUGAAUUAUACAAUGCUAUCUUGUUGCAAAGGCAUUAUAUAUGUGAAUUAUGCAAUGCCAUGCUGUUUAGCCAAUCAUCAUGUAUGUGAAUUAUAUCAUGCUAUCAUUUUUUUGUAUUACAUGUUCCAUUUGUCGACAACGUUUGUAUAUUCAACUACUCUUCCUGUGCAUCAGCCAUUUGAAGCGGGGAUGGAAGUAUCUGGAGUGAAAACAAGGUAUUCAGAGCAGACAAUGCUACCUGCUAAAGCAGACAUCUUGCUGGCUACAGAGAGCUCCUCAGAGGAGGAUUCAAAGACUGAUGACCAGUCCUAUUUCCCCCCUGAGGUCUAUGCUCAAACUUGGCAGGGUUAUAUUACCCAUGUCAUGCAUGUUGUCUUGCAUUGCUUAGUUUUUACAUCAUAUAUAGAUUGCCAUCUGCUUACUUGCUUACUAUAUAAAUCAUAUAUUUGAAUUAUAUCAUGCCAUCAUGUUUACAUAGUACAUACACAUCACCUAUCUGAAUUAUGGCAUGGCAACCCAUUUAAUAAAGACAUCAUAUAGUUAUAUCAUCUCAUCCUGUUUAGUGUUUACAGUCAUCAUAUUUAGAAUUAUGGCAUUCUAUCCAUGAAUGUAUGUGAAUUAUGACAUGCCAACCUAUUUAAUAAACACAUUAUAUAGUUAUGUAAUGUCAUCCUGUUUACAUAAUCUCAUAUUUUGAACUAUGUCUUUCCAUCUUUUUUAGUUAGCCAUCAUAAUGUGAAAUUGUGUCAUGCUAUCAUGUUUAGUUACCCAUCAUAUAUGUGAAAUUAUGUCAUGCUAUCCUGUUUGGUUAGACAACAUAAAUAUGAAUUAUUUCAUGCCCUCUUUUAUUCCCCACUAUCCAUUGCACAUGUCUAUCAUACAAUGUGUAUACUUUCAAUUACUUUUCUUGUUUAUCAGCCAUUUGAAUUGGAGAGCAUGAUGGCAGUAUCUAAGCGAGUAACAACACGGUCUUCAGAAAAGAUAGUGCUACCAGUUAAUGCAGAUAGAACCAUGGUUGUACUUGCCCAAGGACUAGAUCCACCACACAUAACCCAGACUCUCGCAGAUUGUACCCCUACCCAGUUGGACAGAGAACUAGCUACACCUCUUUUAACCCCAACCCCAGCAGAUAGUAACCCAGUUCCAGUUGACACAGCACCGUCUCCACCACAGAGCACCCAAACACGAGCGGCUAGUAAGGGAACUGCAGUGCCCAAAGUACGAGGACCACCACUCCGAAUCCCAACUCAACGCUUAAAGGAGAAGAAGAUUUGUUCUCAGGUCAGGUUCUGUAGCUAUGGUUCAUACUCCUUUGCUCUUGCAUUACUGUAUUUACUCAUACCAACUAUUUUCAAUUUUGAAGGAUGGAAUUGAAACUCCAAUGGCGCAACAGGUAUGUUUUAAACCUGUUUCUUUAACUGGUUUGCUGUUGUAACCUGCUCUACUUGAUUUCAGUUUCAAUUGAAUAAACAGUUAUGUUCUCAUGUCAUGCACAUUACAAGUGUUGUUAUUGCUCUAUAGUUACCCACACUUAUAUUCUGUCUAUUCUUCUUUGUCUUGAACAAAUAUUAUUUGAACUGUGUCUCUAUCUUGAUUUGGCAACAAAAACUAGAAUGAUAUAGACCAUAAAGUGACCAUGGCACAUAGAUAUAUGUUUGUUUCAUGCUGUUAUCCUGUCCACUUUACUACUGAACUCAUUUACCAAAAUGAGUUUCAUAUACAACAUGGUAAACAUGUGAUGUGUCUGCUUGUUUCUCUCUUAGAAUGCGGACAAAAUAUUGGAGAACAGUACUGCGCUAUCCAGUGGUAAAGGAAGUAAUGCAGAUAAGGUUCAAGAUAGUGAGACAUCCCUGUUGGUCUCCAAGAAAGCUGAUAAAAACUAUCUUGACAGCAGUGAGGGAACCCAAAAGUCCUGUCUUGAUGUAGUGUUCGAGUUACUGGCCACUACUGCUGGCACAAGAUCUUCGAACUCGCUGCCUAAAUCAGUUCGUCUUCUUGAGUCUCAACUUCAAGUUGAAAGACAUCGAUCAGAUGUGCUGCGACAGGAAGCUGAAGGACUGAGGAAGUCCCUGCAGAAUUCAGAUGCAUAUUUUCUGGUGCAACAACAAGCGCUGGAGGAUUUAAGCGCCAAACAAGAGAAAGUUAAUAAGCUUGCUAAGCAUCUUGCCAGCAUUAUGGGUACCCAGGAUAUUGUUUCUUGAGAUCUUUUGAAGUGGUUUCAGUUCUGGAUUUGUUUUGCUGCGGCGUUUAUUUGCGCUGGUCGCCAACUUUGACAACCAGUGUAUAUGAUAUGCUGCUUUGUUCCCUAUAUUUGCACUGGUGGCGAACUUUGAUGCCUAGUGGAUGUAAUAUGUGUAACAACCGUGAUAGCCUAGCAUAAGUUGCUUGCUUAUUUUUUUCCUUGUUGUGUUGUUUAUUUGUUUGCUUGUAGCCAGUGCAGUUCUUUUUAAAACUAGGCCACAAUAACCAUGGGCUAAUAUUUACUGUAGUGACAUUGGGCCUCCUACGGGCCGUAGAAAUAGUGGGCCUUCUACGGGCCAUAGAAACAGUAGGCCUUCUACGGGCCGUAGAAACAAUGGGACUUCUACGGGCCGUAGAAAUAAUGGGCCUUAUACGGGCCGUAGAAACAAUGGGCCUUCUACGGGCCGUACAAACAAUGGGCCUUCUACGGGUCGUAUCAUCAAUGGGCCUUAUACGGGCCAUAUGACCAUAACGGGCCAUCGUUAAUAGGCCGUAUUUGAUGACGCUAUGGAAACGGCCCAACGUAUUAACGGACCACAAACGGGCCGAUGUAACCACGGGCUGAAUUUGGCCCACAAGCAGGAAAUGACAGUAACGGGCCGUAAGUAAACGAAUGCUGGAAAUGAGCCCAAGAAUAAAUGGGCUCUGAGAAGGCCGAAAGAUAACAUUUGCUGGAAACGGCCCAACUGAAUAAUGGGCCCUUAAUGGGUAUAAAGUGAUAUACUGUUCAUUACGGGCCAGUUUCACCAUGGACCGUUAGUGGGUGUAAAGUGAUACACUAUUCAUUGUGGGCCAGUUUCACCACGGGCCGUUAAUAGGCCAAGAGUUACAUAGGGCCUCAUAUGGGCCGAAAGACGUCAUGGGACAUACAUGGGCCAGAAGUGAAAACGGGCUAGAAUCAUAUUGGAUGGCCCAGAUGACGCUACUGGGCCUAAUUUGGAUAGGGUGUAACGGGCCUUGGGUUAGCGGGCUGUAAAUGGGCUAUAUGCGAACAUGCCGUUAACAGGCUUUCCAUGGGCUGGCCCGCCACCUUUUGACCAAGUCAAACGGGCCGACCUUUUCACAGGAAUGGGCCUCUGUUGGGCCGUGCCACGUGUCGAUGUAUCAUAGGCGCCUUCUGUCCAAUGAGUGGAUGACAUCUGUCCCAACGGUUAGCCGACACGUGUUUCCUCCAGCCAAUGAUGAUUUUACACAUGGAAAAUACCCAUUGGCUGGGCUGUUAACGGGUUAUCGGAUCCAAAACCCGACCCGAUAGCUUAACGGUGUUCCGUUACGAUGGAUGCCAUGUGUCGGUCACCCUUGACGAAAGCAGUUCUGUGACGCGCGAUUUAUCGUCAUGGAAGUGGACACUUCCAUGAUGAUAAUUUUGGUAAUGUCAUCGAACACUUCUACGACAGCACAGGUAUGACUAUCUUGAUUCUGUCAUAAAUUUUUCAUAGAUGUACAUGUAUGACAAAAAACGCAACCUACUGUGACAAACACGUAUCAUCAUGGAAGUGUAUUUUUUUGUAGUGCAUGGCCAGAGGUCACCGGCGACUAACCCCGACGUGCUGACGUGUCCGGCUCAAUUAGCCAUUAACGACAAUGUUUAGUUUAAACACUAGACACUGACAAGUAGGCCUAGGCGCUCUAAUGAGCUUAGUUAAAAUUAAUUAAACCCCUGUUUAACUUUAACUUAACCAUAGUGGCCCCACGCGUCAGCUCUGACCCUGCUGACAUGGCCGUUGACCGGGCCCACCUAUCAGCGAGACUAACGAGCCCUAUGUCACUGACGUGUGGUCCCCACUGGUCAGGUUUGACCUGGACCAUGCCCUGUUGACUCGUUGAUGUCACAGUGACGUAGUGCUGACGCAUGCUGACGCAGUAAUGCAAUUGUCUGGAUUUAUUCUUAUUCAGGAAAUUCCAGAAAAUGCCCAAAACUUCUAAAAUUCAUAGAAAUUCAACCAUAACUCCAAAUGAAAUAAUUUAUAUAUGAAAAAUGAUCAGAAAAAUCCAAUCUAUCCAUAUGUACCAUUUUCAUGCAUGUUUGAAUAACUUACAGCACUGUUUAUGACAAUUUGAAUAAAUGGCAUUUUAAAUGUCCCAUGUGGAGUUUGAAUUUGAACCUAGGGUUCAAACCAACUCCAUUUAACCUGUUGCUAGUUGCAUUAGCUUAAAACAUAGCAUAUUUACAUGUCAUGAUCAUGCAUCAUAUUGUUGCAUUGCAUUGAUUGUGUCCCUUCUCUAUUGCCGGUAAUUGUCCCCUCUCGGUAGACGUGGUUCUGACGAUGAUUUCGAUGACACCGAUGAAGAGCUAUACUAUCUUUAGAAGUGCCAGACAAGCAAAACCCCCUUGUUCAUUCCGAUACAAUCCCACUAUCUCGCUCCUGCUCUCUUUUACUGCAUGAGGACAACAACGUUUCAACUGUUACGUGCUGCGGUAGUUGAACCCCUUUCCUCUGCAUGACCUGUCAUUGCCACAGUAAAUAGAUGAAACCCACUAGCAUGAGUAGGAGUUGUUUGAGCCCUGAUGUGCCUACUCAUUCAUGCUUGUUUGUCAUGCCUGCUAUUGCUUAGAGUUGUGUCAGGUCUGAUUCAUCGGGGAUGAAUUGGAAAGUUGUGAACAUGUCCUACUGUUGAGAGCUAAGUGUGUGAACACGAUUUGGUAAAGGUAGCGGUGAGAGGCCAUGUAGGAGUACAUGGUGGGUUGUCUCAUUGAAACCGUCCUCAGGAACUGAGUUCUGUGUUUGUGAUCCAUGAACAGUUACUACCACACAUUGGGCUCCGGGCACUCCAAGCUCUCUCGACUUAUUAAUCAACUCGAUCUCUGUCGAGGAGUUGCAACUAGUUUCUGGUGUUUGUAGGUAGUGUUAGUAGUCUACCAAGUGGCACCCGGUACAGGUGGGCUUGGGACAGACUAGGUGCAGUGGCACAGUGUACCAAGUGGCACCCGGAUGGUGGGCUUGGGAACCCUGCUCACAUUGUUUGGGGCCGUGAGCGACACCCCGGGCGGAUCUCCUUGCGGAUGGAACCCUAAUAGGUGAUAAACCUGGACGAGAGACUUGUGUGGUUAGUCAGGUCAUGGCCGACUCCCUCGCCAGGCUUCCGCUUGAAGGUUGCCGAGAUACACGAUGUGUACAUGGUGGUAAGUGGCGAGAGCGUGUGUGAAGAAGUACACCCCUGCAGGGUUAACAUCAUCUAUUCGAAUAGUCGUGUCUGCGGUAAAGGACUUCUGGGUUGCGUGUACAGUUCAUAGAUAACUUGAAGUGGAUACUCUAAAAUGCGCAAGAUAAGCGUGAGUGCUAUGGAUGGCGUUCUCGUAGGUAGACGAGAGCGGGUCCAUAGUGGUGUAUUGAUUGGUGAAUACGUGGACUCGUGUGUGCCACCUCAAAAGAGUUACAUUGCAGUCGUAGUUCAGGAUAGCCACUGAGUCAAAGCUGGCUUGCUGCAGUUAAACCCCAUCAUCCCUUUGUUGAUAAUGAGGCAUAUGUAGAUAGCUCUGAUGUAAGUCUUGCUGGGUACAUUUGUACUCUCGUUUGCCUAUUUUAUGUUUUUGCAGAGAGACUUUAGUCUCAUUAGUAGUUCCGCGUGGACUUCGACAUUUAGCUUGUUACAUCAGCUACGAUCUUGUGCCCUCGACAGGAUCUGGUAGAUAGUCAGGCUUCUCAGCCUUUUUCAUUUAUAGUUGUCUAUACUCAGACAUGUUAAGCUUCCGCGUGUGCUUUGACUUGUAUGCUCUGAAUGUCGGGUCAUGAGACCCAUGUUUGUAAUAUCUCGCUCCUCGGAGCCUAUUGAAUAAAAUACUUGAGUCGUAGAGUCAUGUUGUGAUGCCAUGUUGUAUCUGCACAUGUCGAGCAUAUUGUGUGUAUGUUAUUGAAAUGCUUGGUAUGUGUGGGAUCUGACAACCUAGUUGUUUAUUCUUGGUAGCGUCUCUUACCGGGAAAUGUCUCCUAGUGCUUCCACUGAGCCAUGUAGCUUGCUACUGCUCCGGAACACUUAGGCUGGCCGGCAUCUGUCCUUCUUCGUUCCUGUGUCUGUCCCUUCGGGGAAGUGUCACGCGGUGUCUACCGGAGUCCUGUUAGCCUGCUACAGCCCAGAUUCUUUGGAGUCCUGCUAGCCUAGCUGCUACAGCCCGGAUUCACUCGCUGUUGACCGACACGUUCGUUGUUGGGUCAUGUAUGACUGUCCCUGUAAGUUAGCGCCACUUUGGGUUCACGACUAGUCAUGUCAGUCCGGGUUCUUUGUCAUAUGGAUGCUAGCGACACUAUCAUAUACGUGAGCCAAAAGGUGCAAACGGUCCCGGGCCUGGUAAGGCGACACCCGUGGGAAUACCAUGCGUGAGGCCGCAAAGUGAUAUGAGGUGUUACAUGCUAGAUAGGUGUGGCAUUGGAUCGGAGUCCUGACAGCUUUGGUAUCAGAGCUUGACUGCCUGUAGGAUUACCAAGCCAAACUGGUCAAAGUUGAGUCUAGAAAUUCUUAGUUAUAUAAGGGAAUUGAUUGUGGGAUGGAACAUAAGGCUCUUUUUACUCCUUUACCUUAUGCCCUUCUGAUCUGAGUCAACCUCUUCUCUUCUACGGGGAUUAAGAACUAGGCUUUCUCUUCUUUCUAUCGGGAUCACGUGUUACUAAUCCGUAGAACUAUAGGAUUUAUGGUUCUAAGCUUGAGUUCAGUUCCUACUAUCUUCUGUAUGUUCAUAGUUGAUCUCAGAACCUUGAUAUUAUGAUGAUCGAGUGGUUAUGCCACCAUUUUUGUAGCAUGUCUCAAAUCGUUUUGAUCAUUUACAGCCGUUAUGCUGUCCAAGUCAUCUCAGGUCUCUAAACAGUCCGAUGCAUUUGCAAAUCCCUUCUUCCCGUUCCCGAUGUCCUCUCUGGCCAGGUUAACCACACUAAACGGUGAGUUGAGGUACUCUAUUGCCUCGACGUAUAUGUUGGAGCUAUUAUUAUGACCCUAGAUGUCUAGAGUAUCACCUAGUGAUCUAGCCAUGUUCCGUGUUUCUAGUGUGAUGACUCUGGCCAUCAUUACCAAAAGCAUCCCGUGAUGCCACUUAGUUAGUAGGCAUUCCACUCCUGGGUCUCUGAACCCGAGAUUCACCCUACUUACUUUAUGUUGAUAAUGUUGCUAGUCCCUCUAGGAUAUUAGUAACCUUUGCAUUAGUCCUCGAGGUCCGUGGUAUUUCCUUCUUCCAAAUACUAUGAACCACUUAUGGCAGAAGUUUUCGGAUCAAAAGAUCACAACAGGAGUGCUCUCGAUGAGUUCUCCAUUCUAUAGUGUAACUCUGCCAGUUCAACCUUUCUGCAUGGGUUAUCCGGAAGAAAUAUGUUGAACUCGUUCGACAUGCUAAUCCAUGCAUCCACAACUAAGAAAGAUAUAUGUUCCUUUGAGUUGUCCCUCUUUAGUUGUCUUCUGACCUUCGUCUAUCAAUUGAUAGUCAGGAGUAGUGGUGCAAUCGUGUUUAUCGAUGCCUAUUACUCUUGUGGUCCGUCAAGCCAUUCUAUUCCGGAAUGACUAGGAGAAACAAACCCCAGUACCUUAUCCAUUUCCAGGAUUGGGUGAAAGCAAUUGCAUUCCGCAUAUCAAAAUGCCAAUCCAGCUUUUGUUCUGUUCUACCUUGGAGUAUUACCAUCUCUAUAUCAAGAAUAUCAUGGGAAUUGCACACCAUCCUAUGGACUCUUGAUACAGUGAUACUUCUCUCCAUCUUUAUUCAUUCCUCGGUCCCCGUGUUAUUGCAACCGGAAUGCCGACAAGUGAAAUGUGAUGUGUGAUAUCAAUUCUCCUAGCAAACUCCGUUGCUUGGCAGUUAAUGGACAAUAACUUCAUUCUUAGCGUGUUGGUUAUUGAAUCACCAUUCUAAGAUUGAUCGUGCUACCUUGUCCUUAUUUCCGGUGCACUUUUCGAUCAAUGAUUUAGGAUAGUGACAAUCCUUGCUUAUUUGAUCAUAUCGUCUUGCCCUGAAAAGCAAGAUUGUUCUCGAACUUAGUAACAUACCGGUGGUUCGUGAUUUUCCGAAUAUCUUCUCGGAAGUAUCAUCGGGUCGUCACCUGACCGCUAUGUUGAGUUUAUGAUCAAGUUGGUUUCUUGUAACCACCCCUUCUCCAAGAAUCUAUGUCGGAUACCCCGAGCUAGUUGGUUAAGCUAAACAACAACUUGGAGAGUUGGAAGAUGAAAGCUUUGCCGAAUCUAGUUCAUUCUGAAGGGAUAUCUUGCAUUGUGUGUGUGUGUUCAAGAAAGAUGAUAUCCUCAUCGAUUGGUCCCUAUGAUCAGUUAUUAGACCUAUUAUCUUAUCAAAACUUUGAUUUGAGUGUGGGCUAUUAUCAGAUCAAAUCAGAGCCAACGAUGUUCAUAAUGUUGUCUUACUCGUGGUUGAUCCCUCGGGCAUACACCAUUACAUCCUUUAGUCUGACCGAUGCUAUCACCGUGUCCACCUAAUUGUGGAAUCCCGUCUAUAUGGAAACCUGGAUGAAUUGUUGUUGAGCCCAUCAACAACAUCCUUAUCUCCUCCAUGAUUUUGUUGAACAUUAAGCUAGUGUUGGAAACUUGUGUAAGCAUUUUCUUCAUGCCCGUUCAUGAAGUAUAUGUUUGGAUGAAAGAAGUGACUUCCUUUAAUUCACGUGCAUUUGAUGUAAGUUGUCGCCGUGAAUUCGAGAAAGUUUGUUUUUGCUCCUCUGGAAUCAUCCCAAGUCAGUCAUGCAUGUGGGAAGUAUUCUAUGGUCUGAUAGACUGAUCAUCUUCAUUCCAUAUGUAUCCCCUAGCACACGAAGCUAUUGAUUGAUUUUUUCAAGGAAAGGAAGUUCCUUCUUAAGAGCAUGCCUUAUGCAAGGACUUCAAUAUCCUCGAUUAUGGUUCCCCACCUGAACUCGGUAGUGUUUUAUUAUAAGACUGCCACGUGGUGAUGCUUGUCUAGGACAGUGUGUUCAUAGGUGUGUAGCAAAACUUGCUCAUGUUGUGGAGCUUGCUAUCGUAGUUCAUCUCCCGAGAGUCUCACAAUGUUAUCUCGUCGACUUGUGUUGCAACUCUUCUUUUCAGACAUGUGAGUCUGAAGUAUCCUGUUUCUAACUAGAUCUGAAUCUCAGGCAGAUAUGAUGUUUGGAACAUUCCAACAUUUGCAUUUUGUUCCUAGCUUGCACCGUCUUUGUGCCAUUUCACUGUGGGCUGCCUCCUUAGUUCUCAUUCAGGAUCAUCUUCAAAAGUGGUCCUACCAUGGGUCCCAUCCAUUUCCGAUAAUAAGCAAAAAUCAUCCAUUGUGUUGUCUUCAACAAGGUAGUCCACAUCAUCCAUUCUAGUCUGGGUAUGCCAUUCCUUCGCACUUCGCCAAACGAUCAUUUGUGAUUGCCUUAGCCUGGUAUGGAGAGUUUCAAUGAUCCUUUCCGAUAGAGUAUCUUUCUGACGUCAUUGAGUUGGAUGAAGAUCUCGAAAGAAAAUACGUCAAGAUCAAUAUGAAGCAAUGAAUUGACAUCCUUGAGAAGGACAGUUGGAUCAUGAAGAUCGUGUCAGCUUUGUGUCCCCUAUGUCUUCUUACCUCACGUCUUGAAUCUCGGGACGAGAUUCUUGUUUAGUGGGGGUGAGCUGUCACAUCCCUAGUUCUGUUAUGCUCUGGGCUAGCUAGUCAUGUGUGACAUCAUGUUUAAAUUCUAUUUAAGUUGAAAUGGGGACGUUCAAACCCUAGCAGAUAAUAUUUUCAACUAGGUUCAAGUUUAAAUCUUUUCAAUGAACCCAAAAUGCCCUUUGGAAAAGUUCAUGAUUUUUGAUAAAGGUGAAAACCUUUGGAAAAAAUGAUGCACAUAUUUCCAGGCCAUUUCUGGACUCUUGAAUUAAAUCAUUAUGUAUUUGAAUUUGGGCAUUUAAUUGCUAUUACAAUUUUUAAAUGCUCAAAUAAUUCUGAAACUAAAUGUGGGUUGUUGGAAAUAAUACAACAGGUCCUCACAAUUUAUUUCAGGAUUUUUAUAUGUGGUUUAGUAUUUUUACUAAAUCAAAGAAAACAAAAAGCAAAUAGAAAACAGAAACAAAAAUUAAAAGAAAGACAGAGUUUUACCUGGAGCUUACCUGGCAGCCCAGCUGGCCCAGCACUGUAGCUGAGGCCCAACCCACCAGGGCGAAGCGGUCGUCUUCAACCUCUGCCAGUAGGCAGAGGCGUGUCGACACCAGCGCGCCCGAGGCCUCCACCUCCUCCCUGCCUGCCUGGCCUCCCCGUGCCCGCCCUCUCGUCGAUAGGAGGUGUGCUUGACCCCUUCGUCCAUUCCCCCUCUCUGUGGACCUCCUCCCCCUUCUUUGUUCUCUCUUCCACGGCCGCCCGAACGAGCCCGUGUGCGCCACUGCAAAACACCGCGCCCACCGCCAUCCCCUUGCCCCGUGGUCGUGACCCUGAGCUCCUCCUUGGCCCCAAGAACCUCUAUGCCAACCCACUCAAUCCCGGAUGACCCCAAGACGGUGCUGUGGCUUUUCUUCCCCGUCCACGACCACCGGAUGCCGUCGCCCGAUUCGCCGUCUUCAACGCGCCCCCAAGCUCGCUUCGACGCCCCUGCAACCUCAGUGAGCCACUACGCCAAACCCCUCUCUCCUCGUGUUCGAUUGCCCUCUCUAGCUGUCGCCUCCAUCGAGCUCGAGACCUCACCAUCGUCAGCCAUGGUGCCACCACGGUUGCUAACGCCAUAGCUCGCGUUCGAGCAUGCUGCUGAACUCCUAGAGUUCCCAGGAGCCCAUAGAGCUUUUUAGCCAGCCUCUCUGUGCACCAUAGCGCCGCUCGCGUCAAGCCCGUGGCUCCAGCCGCCGCCCGGGUGCCCACCGUGAUCGACUCUGGGCACCCCGCGACCUGCUGCUGCCUCCGCUGGAUGCGCUCGCGCAUGGGCUACCUCCUGGUGCCUUUCUCCGCCACUCCCGUGGCCUCCCGGUGUGCUUCCGCCGUGGCCAGAGGUCACCGGCGACUAACCCCGGCGUGCUAACGUGUCCGGCUUAAUUAGCCGUUAACCACAAUGUUUAGUUCAAACACUAGACACUGAUAAGUAGGCCCAGACGCUCUAAUGAGCUUAGUUAAAAUUAAUUAAACCCCUGUUUAACUUUAACUUAACCACAGUGGCCCCACACGUCAGCUCUGACCCCGCUGACGUGGCCAUUGACCGGGCCCACCUGUCAGCGAGACUAACGAGCCCUAUGUCACUGACGUGUGGUCCCCACUGGUCAGGUUUGACCUGGACCACACCCUGUUGACUCGCUGACAUCACAGUGACGUAGUGCUGACGCAUGCUGACGCAGUAAUACAAUUUUCUAGAUUUAUUCUUAUUCGGGAAAUUCCAGAAAAUGCCCAAAACUUCUAAAAUUCAUAGAAAUUCAACCAUAACUCCAAAUGAAAUAAUUUAUAUAGGAAAAAUGAUUAAAAAAAUCCAAUCUAUCCAUCUGUACCAUUUUCAUGCAUGUUUGAACAACGUACAACCACUGUUUAUGACAAUUUGAAUAAAUGGCAUUUUAAAUGUCCCAUGUGGAGUUUGAAUUUGAACCUAGGGUUCAAACCAACUCCAUUUAACCUGUUGCUAGUUGCAUUAGCUUAAAACACAGCAUAUUGACAUGUCAUGAUCAUGCAUCAUAUUGUUGCAUUGCAUUGAUUGUGUCCCUUCUCUGUUGCCGGUAAUUGUCCCCUCUCAGUAGACGUGGUUCUGACGAUGAAUUCGAUGACACCGAUGAAGAGCUAUACUAUUUUCAGAAGUGCCAGGCAAGCAAAACCCCCUUGUUCAUUCCGAUACAAUCCCACUCUCUCGCUCCCGCUCUCUUUUACUGCAUUAGGACAACAACGUUUCAACUGUUACGUGCUGCGGUAGUUGAACCCCUUUCCUCUUCAUGACCUGUCAUUGCCACAGUAAAUAGAUGAAACCCACUAGCAUGAGUAGGAGUUGUUUGAGCCCUGAUGUGCCUACUCAUUCAUGCUUGUUUGUCAUGCCUGCUAUUGCUUAGAGUUGUGUCAGAUCUAAUUCAUCAGGGAUGAAUUGAAAAGUUGUGAACAUGUCCUACUGUUGAGAGCUAAGUGUGUGAACAUGAUUUGGUAAAGGUAGCGGUGAGAGGCCAUGUAGGAGUACAUGGUGGGUUGUCUCAUUGAAAUCAUCCUCAGGAAUUGAGUUCUGUGUUUGUGAUCCAUGAACAGUUACUACCACACAUUGGGCUCCGGGCACUCCAAGCUCUCUCGACUUAUUAAUCAACUCAAUCUCUAUCUAGGAGUUGCAACUAGUUUCUGGUGUUUGUAGGUAGUGCUAGUAGUCUACCAAGUGGCACCCGGUAUAGGUGGGCUUGGGACAGACUAGGUGCAGUGGCACGGUGUACCAAGUGGCACCCGGAUGGUGGGCUUGGGAACCCUGCUCACAUCGUUUGGGGCCGUGAGUGACACCCCAGCCGGAUCUCCUUGCGGAUGGAACCUUAAUAGGCGAUAAACCUGGACGAGAGACUUGUGUGGUUAAUCAGGUCGUGGCCGACUCCCUCGCCAGGGUUCCGCUUGAAGGUUGCCGAGAUACACAAUGUGUACAUGGUGGUAAGUGGCGAGAGCGUGUGUGAAGAAGUACACCCCUGCAGGGUUAACAUCAUCUAUUCGAAUAGCCGUGUCCGCGGUAAAGGACUUCUGGGUUGCCUGUACAGUUCAUAGAUAACUUGAAGUGGAUACUCUAAAAUGUGCAAGAUAAGCGCGAGUGCUAUGGAUGACAUUCUCGUACGUAGACGGGAGCGGAUCCAUAGUGGUGUAUUGAUUGGUGAAUAUGUGGACUCGUGUGCGCCACCUCAAAAGAGUUACAUUGCAGUCGUAGUUCAGGAUAGCCACCGAGUCAAAGCUGGCUUGCUGCAGUUAAACCCCACCAUCCCUUUGUUGAUAAUGAGGCAUAUGUAGAUAGCUCUGAUGUAAGUCUUGUUGGGUACAUUUGUACUCACGUUUGCCUAUUUUAUGUUUUUGCAGAGAGAAUUCAGUCUCAUUAGUAGUUCUGCGUGGACUUCGAUGUUUAGCUUGUUACGUCAGCUAUGAUCUUGUACCCUCGACAGGAUCUGGUAGAUAGUCAGGCUUCUCAGCCUUUUUCAUUUAUAGUUGUCUAUACUCAGACAUGUUAAGCUUUCGUGUGUGCUUUGACUUGUAUGCUCUGAAUGUUGGGUCAUGAGACCCAUGUUUGUAAUAUCUCGCUCCUUGGAGCCUAUUGAAUAAAAUACUUGAGUCAUAGAGUCAUGUUGUGAUGCCAUGUUGUAUCUGCACAUAUCGGGCAUAUUGUGUGUAUGUUAUUGAAAUGCUUGGUAUGUGUGGGAUCUGACAACUAGUUGUUUAUCCUUGGUAGCCUCUCUUACCGGGAAUGUCUCCUAGUGCUUCCACUGAGCCAUGGUAGCUUGCUACUGCUCCGGAACACUUAGGUUGGCCGACAUGUGUCCUUCUUCGUUCCUGUGUCUGUCCCUUCGGGGAAAUGUCACGCGGUGUCUACCGGAGUCGUGUUAGCCUACUACAGCCCAAAUUCUCUGGAGUCCUGCUAGCCCAGCUGCUAUAGCCCGGAUUCACUCGCUGUCGAUCGACACGUUCGUUGUUGGGUCAUGUAUGCAUGUCCCUGUAAGUUAGCGCCACUUUGGGUUCACGACUAGUCAUGUCAGCCCGGGUUCUUGGUCAUAUGGAUGCUAGCGACACUAUCAUAUACAUGAGCCAAAAGGUGCAAACGGUCCCGGGCCUGGUAAGGCGACACCCAUGGGAAUACCGUGCAUGAGGCCGCAAAGUGAUAUGAGGUGUUACAUGCUAGAUCGGUGUGGCAUUGGAUCGGGGUCCUGACACACGCCCUUGUCCCCCAUGGCCCGCCUAUCGGGGACACUAGCAGUCCCUUCCCUUCCAACGCGUCCACCCCCUCUCCCCGCCCCACCCUGCCGCCGGCGCUGCCACUAUUCUCCGGCCACCUCCUCACUGCGCACCCCCGGCCGUCCAUACCAAACCACGGCUCAACAUGGCCGCCACCACGCCCACGCUUUCAUCGUAGUUUUGGCCGUCGAUUGGAGGAGAUUUUGCUGUCGCCAUCGUAGCUGGUGGUAGUGGGGAUACGACCACCAGCGACGUACCACGACGGCCAUGACAGCUUCCGAUGAAUGCUCCAGAGCGGCCAGUAGCCGGCCGCCAGCCACCCCUGCUGCAUCGAGGUGAUCAUCGCGACCUCUUUGCCACCAUGACUGCAAGGUGUUCAACACUUUGCCACAAAGGUAUGGACAGUGGAGAUGAAUUUUUCUUCCACCACUUCAUUUAUUCAUCGGACAAUUCGUUGUUGGAUGAUGAAGAUCUUGUGGUGGCUGCACUGGUCGUUCAUGACCACAUUGAAAGGCCUCUUCCUCGGUACAAGGGGUCACUCCCUGGCUGUGCUCCCAACCUGAACUGCAGCAGGGAGAGAGGCCACACCCUGCUCUAUGCCGAUUACUUUGCAAACACCCCGCUCUUCAAGCCGGAUAAAUUCCGUCGCCGUUUUUGUAUGGCAAGGCAUGUGUUCAAUCGUAUCAGAGAGGGAGUGGUUGCUCAUGACCCAUACUUCGAGUGCAAGAUAGAUGCCCUUGGCAAGCUUGGAUUCUCCUCUUACUAGAAAUGCACCGCGGCCAUCCGCAUGUUGCAUAUGGAAUUCCAAGAGAUCUUGUGGAUGAGUAUGUGCGUAUGAGUGAGUCCACAUGUUUGCUGUCAUUGUACAAUUUCUGCUAGGCCGCGGUGGAAGUGUUUGGCCCUGAGUACUUGAGGCAGCCAACUGCCGCUGAUAUAGAGAGAUUGUUGGCGACCAACACAGCUAGAGGUUUUCCAGGCAUGCUUGGCAGCAUAGAUUGUGUGCACUAGGAGUGGAAGAACUGCCCAUUUGCUUGGCAGGGCUAGUACAAGGGGCAUGUUAAAGCAUGCACUGUCAUAUUAGAAGCGGUGUUUGUCGUGGUUCUAAGUCUGACAGUAAGUAUAGGGGGUACAAAUGAGGAGGCAAGGUCCUAGGUACGGUGAGAUUGUACGCAAGUGUUUACGAGUUCAGGCCCCUCUCGGAGGAGGUAAAAGCCCUAUGUCUCGAUGCCUUGAGGCGGUCGACUGGAAUAUGGGAGUAUGUGUUACAGGGGCUGCGAACCCUUUUGCCAGAGGAGGGAGUGGCUUAUAUAGAGUGCGCCAAGACCCCAGCCAUCCCCCGUUACCAAGAGUUCAAUGUACAUAAAGAUGGGGCAUUACUGAUAAUGCCAGCCAUAAAGUGCUUUUAAUGAUCUUAAAGACUACGGAGUGAACACCUGGCCGUUGCUAUUCUGGUCGACUCCUGGUUUUCGAUAGGUCGAGUGAUUUCCUGUAUGGUCGAAUGAUAUUAAGAGGGAGGGGUACCCGAGUGAGGUGACUGGUCGAUUGGAUUGCACUCGACGCCUUCAAUUGGUACUCCAUGUUGUGUCUUGGAUGUCCUUGCUUCUAGGGUAGUGACCUUGGGUAGGGCGUAUAGGUCAGGCCUAUGACCCUACCCUAGGUCUAUAUCAUCAUCAUUAGCCCCUGAAUGGAUUGAGGUCUGAGUGAAAAGAAGGUUCAAGUUGAUCUUGCCUCGACUCUUGUGCUUCACAAGUACCCAUGCUGGACUGGAGGCCCAUCUUGGAACUUCGGCUUCAUUUCAGUCGCCUUGAUCGAUUCAGAAGUUGUCGAGUGGAUUUAUACCGUCACUCGUCGAGUGUUAUUUUUGACGCGAAAUCUUUGGCGCGAUUGGUUACGGCGUAUCUCGGAUAUCAUGGGAUUCAAAAUUUCAGGGAAGCACGCGAGGUGGAGUGUGCCGUAGUAAGCGGGAUGGAUAGACAGGAGCGCCUCGAUCCCUGCGCCACCUUUUUCGCCACGUACCCAGUGCACGACUGUUGCGGGAUUUGACAGGAUUGCCUAGGCCCAUGCGUCAGUCACUCAGAAGUGGGUCCUUAAAAGGCGACGGGGUCGAGGCGUCUGCACUAUGCGCGUCCAUUCUCCUUCUUUCUCCUCUGCUUCUCCACCGCAUCCUGCUCCACCGCUCUCGACGCCGCCGCCCCGCCACCAUGGUGAAGGACAAGACGACAACACUGGAACAUGCAGAGAAGGCAACGGGGGCGGCAAAAGGCAAGAAGACGAAUCAGGGGUCGUCAUCACGGUCGGCGCUGCCGCCGGGUUGGAUCCAGGGCGAUUGGAUCCGAUCUUCGCUCCGGAUAUUUACUAAUGAGUUUAAAUUCACCUUUGACUCUAGCCAUAUAAUCACUCAAGCGUCCAAUCAAGUAAGAAUUACUCUUUAAUUCUCUACCAACACAAGCAUUGAAGUUUUCUUGUCUAGCCAUAAAGUCAUCAAAUUCAUCCAAGCAUUGGCUAGCAAACUUAGUAGACGGGAUUUCAACCUUAUCAUAUCUAUAGAGAGAAUUUACCGUUACUACCUGUGUCGGGUUAUCAAGACCAUGUGUUUCUUCAAUAGGUGGUAAAUUAAGACCAUGUAUUUAUUCAACAGGAGGUAAAUUCUUAACAUCUUCAGCUUUAAUACCUUUAUGUUUCAUAGAUUUCUUUGCCUCUUCGAAGUUGGUUUAGGAGUUGGCUCAGGAAUUGGCACAGGAAGUGUCCAAUUAUUUUCAUUAGUCAACAUAUUAUUCAAUAGCAAUUCAGCUCGACCGACUGUUCUUUCCCUGAAAACACAACCAGCACAACUAUCCAAGUGGUCCUUGGAAGCAUCGGUUAGUCCAUUAUAAAAGAUGUCAAGUAUUUCAUUUUUCUUAAGAGGGUGAUCAGGCAAAGCAUUAAGUACUCGGAGAAGCCUCCCCCAAGCUUGUGGGAGACUCUCUUCUUCAAUUUGCACAAAAUUAUAUAUUUCCCUCAAGGUAGCUUGUUUCUUAUGAGCAGGGAAAUAUUCAGCAGAGAAGUAAUAAAUCAUAUCCUGGGGACUACGCACACAACCAGGAUCAAGAGAAUUAAACCAAGUUUUAGCCUCACCCUUUAAUGAGAAUGGAAAUAUCUUAAGGAUAUAAUAGUAGCGAGAUUUCUCAUCAUUAGUGAACAGGGUGGCUAUAUCAUUUAACUUAGUAAGAUGUGCCACAAUAGUUUCAGAUUCAUAGCCAUAAAAAGGAUCAGAUUCAACCAAAGUAAUUAUCUCAGGAUCAACAAAGAAAUCAAAAUCCUUAUCAGUAACAAAGAUAGGUGAAGUAGCAAAAGAAGGGUCAUAUUUCAUUCUAGCAUUCAGAGUUUUCUGUUUCGGUUUAGCUAAUAACUUCUUAAGAUCAGAUCUAUCAUUGCAAGCAAGAAAAUCUCUAGCAGUUUCUUCAUCCAUAACAUAACCCUCAGGAACAACAGGCAAUUCAUACUUAGGGGGAGAACCUUCAUCAUCACUAUCUUCAAUAAUUUCAUUUUCAAUAAUUUCAUUCUCUCUAACCCUAGCAAGUUGUUCAUCAAGAUAUUCACCUAACGGCACAGUAGUAUCAAGCAUAGAAGUAGUUUCAUCAUAAGUAUCAUGCAUAGUAGAAGUGGCAUCAUCAAUAACAUGCGACAUAUCAGAUUUAAUAGCAGAAGCAGGUUUAGGUGUCGCAAGCUUACUCAUAACAGAAGGAGAAUCUAGUGUAGAGCUAGAUGGCAGUUCCUUACCUCCCGUCGUAGUUGAGGGAUAAAUCUUAGUUCUUUCGUCUUUCAAGUUCCUCAUAGUGACCAGCAGAUAUAAAUCCCAACUGACUCAAAGAAUAGAUCUAUGCUCCCAGGCAACGGCGCUAGAAAAUAGUCUUGAUAACCCACAAGUAUAGGGGAUCGCAAUAGUUUUCGAGGGUAGAGUAUUCAACCCAAAUUUAUUGAUUCGACACAAGGGGAGCUAAAGAAUAUUCUCAAGUAUUAGCAGUUGAGUUGUCAAUUCAAACCACACCUGGAUAACUUAGUAUUUGCAGCAAAGUAUUUAGUAGCAAAGUAGUAUGGAAGUAAUGAUAACAGUGGCAAAAGUAACAGUAGCAGUUUUGUAGUAAUUGUAAAAGUGGCACCGGUAAAGUAAAUAAGAAAAGCACAAUAUGUGAAAAGCUCAUAGGCAUUGGAUCAAUGGUGGAUAAUUAUGUUGGAUGCGGUUCAUCAUGUAACAGUUAUAACAUAGGGUGAUAUAGAACUAGCUCCAGUUCAUCAAUGUAAUGUAGGCAUGUAUUCUGAAUAUAGUCAUACGUGCUUAUGGAAAAGAACUUGCAUGACAUUGAUGACCCACAAGUAUAGGGGAUCUAUCGUAGUCCUUUCGAUAAGUAAGAGUGUCGAACCCAACGAGGAGCAGAAGGAAAUGACAAGCAGUUUUUAGUAAGGUUUUCUCUGCAAGCACUGAAAUUGUAGGUAACAGAUAGUUUUGUGAUAAGAUAAAUUGUAACGAGUAACAAGCAAUGAAAGUAAAUAAAGUGCAGCAAGGUGGCCCAAUCCUUUUUGUAGCAAAGGACAAGCCUAGACAAUUUCUUAUAAUGAGAAAAGAGCUCCCAAGGACACAUGGGAAUUAUCGUCAAGCUAGUUUUCAUCACGCUCAUAUGAUUCGCGUUCGGUACUUUGAUAAUUUGGUAUGUGGGUGGACCGGUGCUUGGGUACUGCCCUUACUUGGACAAGCAUCCCACUUAUGAAUAACCCCUAUUGGAAGCAUCCGCAACUACAAAAGAAGUAUUAAGGUAAACCUAACCAUAGCAUGAAACAAGUGGAUCCAAAUCAGCCCCUUAUGAAGCAACUUAUAAACUAGGGUUUAAGCUUCUGUCACUCUAGCAACCCAUCAUCUACUUAUUACUUCCCAAUGCCUUCCUCUAGGCCCAAAUAAUGGUGAAGUGUCAUGUAGUCGACGUUCACAUAACACCACUACAGGAAAGACAAUAUACAUCUCAUCAAAAUAUUGAACGAAUACCAAAUUCACAUGACUACUAAUAGCAAGACUUCACCCAUGUCCUCAGGAACAAACGUAACUACUCACAAAGCAUAUUCAUGUUCAUAAUCAGAGGAGUAAUAAUAUGCAUUAAGGAUCUGAACAUAUGAUCUUCCACCAAGUAAACCAAUUAGCAUCAACUACAAGGAGUAAUCAACACUACUAGCAACCCACAGGUACCAAUUUGUGGUUUUGAUACAAGAUUGGAUACAAGAGAUGAACUAGGGUUUUGAGAGGAGAUGGUGCUGGUGAAGAUGUUGAUGGAGAUUGACCCCCUCCCGAUGAGAGGAUCGGUGGUGAUGACAAUGGUGAUGAUUUCCCCCUCCCGGAGGGAAGUUUCCCCGGCAGAACAGCUCUGCCGGAUCUCUAGAUUGGUUCCGCCAAGGUUCCGCCUCGUGGCGGCGGAGUUUCGUCUCGUAAGCUUGCCUCUAAUUUUUUCCAGGGUAAAAGUCUUCAUAUAGCAGAAGAUGGACACCAGAGGGCCACCAGGGGGCCCAGGAGACAAGGGGCGCACCCAGUAGGGGUGGGCACGACCCCCACCCUCCUGGCCUGGGUGUGGGCCCCCUCUGGUAGUUUCUUCGCUCAAUAUUUCUUAUUAAUUCCAAAAAUAACUUCCGUCGAGUUUCAGGAUUUUUGGAGCAGUGCAGAAUAGGUUUCCAAUGUUUGCUCCUUUUCCAGCCAGAAUUCCAGCUGCCGGCAUUCCCCCUCUUCAUGGUAAACCUUGUAAAAUAAGAGAGAAUAGCCAUAAGUAUUGAGAUAUAAUGUGUAAUAGCAACCCAUAAUGCAAUAAAUAUUGAUAUAAAAGCAUGAUGCAAAAUGGACGUAUCAGACAUCUUUUGUCCUACCCUCCCAUGGCAGCGGGGUCUUAGUGGAUACUAAGGGAUAUUAAGGCCUCCUUUUAAUAGAGUACCGGACCAAAGCAUUAACACAUAGUGAAUACAUGAACUCCUCAAACUACGGUCAUCACAGAGAAUUAUCCCGAUUAUUGUCACUUGCAAGAUAAUAGGUGACUAUAGACUUGCAAGAUAGGAUCAAGAACUCACAUAUAUUCAUGAAAACAUAAUAGGUUCAGAUCUGAAAUCAUGGCACUCGGGCCCUAGUGACAAGCAUUAAGCAUAGCAAAGUCAUAGCAACAUCAAUUUCAUAACAUAGCGGAUAUUAGGGAUCAAACCCUAACAAAACUAACUUGAAUUUACAUGGUAAAUCUCAUCCAACCCAUCACCGUCUAGCAAGCCUACGAUAGAAUUACUCACGCACGGCGGUGAGCAUCAUGAAAUUGGUGAUGGAGGAUGGUUGAUGAUGACGACGACGAUGAAUCCCCCUCUCUGGAGCCCCAAACGGACUCCAGAUCAGCCCUCCCGAGAGAGAUUAGGGCUUGGCGGCGGCUCCGUAUCGUAAAACGCGAUGAAACUUUUUCUCUAAUUUUUUUCUCCGGGAAAGCAAAUAUAUGGAGUUAGAGUUGAGGUCGGUGGACAUGGAGGGGGCCCACGAGGCAGGGGGGCGUGCCCCCACCCUCGUGGACAGGGUGUGGGCCCCCUGAUGCUGAUUCUUUCGCCAGUAUUUUUUAUUAAUUCUGAAAAGUUGCUCCGUGGAUUUUCACGUCAUUCCGAGAACUUUUAUUUCUGCACAAAAAUAACACCAUGGCAGUUCUGCUGAAAACAACGUUAGUCCGGGUUAGUUCCAUUCAAAUCAUGCAAGUUAGAGUCCAAAACAAGGGCAAAAGUGUUUGGAAAAGUAGAUACGACAGAGACAUAUCAACUCCCCCAAGCUUAAACCUUUGCUUGUCCUCAAGCAAUUCAGCUGACAAACUGAAAGUGAUAAAGAAAAACUUUUAUAAACUCUAUUUGCUCUUGUUUUUGCAAAUAUGUAAAGCCAUCAUUCAAGUUUUCAGCAAAGAUUAUGAACUAACCAUAUUCACAAUAACACUUAGGUCUCAUGUUUACUCAUAUCAAUGGCAUAAUCAACUAGCGAGCAAUAAUAAUAAAACUCGGAUGACACCACUUUCUCAAAACAAUCAUAAUAUGAUAUAAUAAGAUGGUAUCUUGCUAGCCCUUUCUGAGACUGCAAAACAUAAAUGCAGAGCACCUUUGAAAGAUCAAGGACUGACUAAACAUUGUAAUUUGUGGUAAAAGAGAUCCAGUCAUAGUCAUACCCAAUAUAAACUAAUAGUAAUGCAUGCAAAUGACAGCGGUGCUCUCCAGCGGGUGCUUUUUAAUAAGAGGGUGAUGACUCAACAUAAAAGUAAAUAGAAGGCCCUUCGCAAAGGGAAGCAGGGAUUUGUAGAGGUGCCAGAGCUCGAUUUUGAAAUAGAGAUGAAGAACAUUUUGAGCGGUAUACUUUCACUGUCAACAUAACAACUGAGAGAUAUCGAUAUCUUCCAUGCCACACACAUUAUAGGCGGUUCCCAAACAGAAUUGUAAAGUUUAUACUCCCCCACCACCAACAAUCAUCAAUCCAUGGCUUGCCCGAAACAACGGGUGCCUCCAACUAACAACAAUCAUCGGGGAGUUUUGUUUGUAAUUAUUUUGAUUUGAUUUGAGCAUGGGACUGGGCAUCCCGGUGACCAGCCAUUUUCUCGUGAAUGAGGAGCAGAGUGCACUCCUCUUGAGAAUAACCCGCCUAACAUGGAAGAUACAGACAUCCCUAGUUGAUACAUGAGCUGUUCGAGCAUACAAAAUAGAAUUUCAUUUGAAGGUUUGGACUUUGGUACAUACAAAUUUAUUUGGAACGGUAGGUAGAUACCGCAUAUUGGAAGGUAUGGUGGACUCAUAUGGAAUAACUUUGGGGUUUAUGGAGUUUGGAUGCACAAGCAAUAUUCCCGCUUAGUACAGGUGAAGGCUAGCAAGAGACUGGGAAGCAACCAACUGACAGAGCGACAACAGUCAUGAACAUGCAUUAAAAUUAAUCAACACCGAGUGCAAGCAUGAGUAGGAUAUAAUCCACCAUGAACAUAAAUAUCGUGAAGGCUAUGUUGAUUUUGUUUGUACUACAUGCGUGAACAUGUGCCAAGUCAAGUCACUCAAAUCAUUCAAAGGAGGAUACCACCCUAUCAUACCACAUCACAACCAUUUUAAUAGCAUGUUGGCACGCAAGGUAAACCAUUAUAAGCUCCUAGCUAAUUAAGCAUGGCAUAAGCAACUAUAAUCUCUAAUUGUCAUUGCAAACAUGUUUAUUCAUAAUAGGCUGAAUCAGGAACGAUGAACUAAUCAUAUUUACAAAAACAAGAGAGGUCGAGUUCAUACCAGCUUCUCUCAUCUCAAUCAGUCCAUCAUAUAUCGUCAUUAUUGCCUUUCACUUGCACGACCGAACGGUGUGGAUAAUAUUAAUAGUGCACGUGCAUUGGACUAAGCUAGAAUCUGCAAGCAUUCAAUUCAAGGGAGAAGACAAGGUAAUAUGGGCUCUUGGUUAAGUCAACAAUCAUGCAUAUGAGAGCCACUUAAACAUUUUCAUUAUCGUCUUCUCCUCUCAACCCCCAAAGGAAAGAAAAGAAAUAAAACUAUUUACAUAGGAAAGCUCCCAACAAGCAAAAGAAGAACGAGAAAUCUUUUUGGGUUUUCUUUUAAUUACUACUACUACUACAUGGAAAGUAAACUAACUAAUUUUUUGGGUUUUUUCUUAAUGUUUAUCAAACACACAAGAAGAAAGCUAGAAAAAGAAAUUAAACUAGCAUGGAUAGUACAAUGAAAGAGUAUGAGCACCGACAACUAGAAUGAGUGUGUGAACAUGAAUGUAAUGUUGGUGAGAAAUACGUACUCCCCCAAGCUUAGGCUUUUGGCCUAAGUUGGUCUAUGCCCAUGGAUCACGGCUACUCUCUCCGGUGUACUGAGGAGUGUCAUUAUACUUCCACUGGCUAGCAAUCUCCUCCGGAUCCCACUGAUAACAACAUGGUCGAUAAGGGCCAAGUGGUGGUUCCCGCUCAGGCUCUGGGGCUGAUGUCUGGCCAUGGAGCACAUAGACAGCCUCCGGCAAGACGGGGUAAGGGCUUGCAGUUAAAUCAAACAAAGAGGGUGCACGCAAGAUAAUAGUCUCACUGUGUUUCUUAUGAAAUCUCAAAUUAUACAAAAGCAUCUUAUCAUCAUUUUUAAUAAUAAACUCAUGUGCUACCAUGCUCUUAUAAUCUAGAAAGGUAGGGGGCAGCAGUUUUUCCUCUUUCUCAAAAUGCCUAAUAGGUAUCCUGAAAUGUUUAGCAAGGCGUGAAGCAUAGAUACCUCUAAAGAUGGGGCCCUUUUUACGGUUCAGGCUUAAUCGCUUAGCAAUAAUAGCGCCCAUACUAACAGAGUUAUCACAAAGUAAAGCAUGGAACAAAAUAAUAAUAUCAGGAACACUAAGGUUUCCACAGUUUCCGUGACAAAUUAAGCAUCGACUAGCAAAUAUUGCAAAGUAGCAUAAAACAGGAAAAAUGUAUGCUAGUAGUUCUUGCAUCGGAAACCUUCCUCGUUUCCCCUACAGUAAUAGUAUCAAUAAAUCCAUCCACAUAUUUACAAUGUGGUUCCUCUAAGCUGCCCCCGAAAGGUAUCUUGCAAACCGUGCAAAAUUCAUAUAGUGACAUCUCCCUAGCCACAUCAUAUAAAUGAAACUCUACUGAAGGAGGUGGUUUCUUAGGAUAAAAGUAGAAAUUUUGCACGAAAGUAUUGGUGAGUAAGAGAUACUGUUCGAUCUGGUCGUGGAGGAAGUCGGUGAGGCCCGCAUUAUCAACCAACGAAUAAAAAUCAUCAUGAAUACCGACUGCUCUCAAGAAACCACCACAAGGCCAUUCACACGGCCGUACUUCCGCCACACGAGGGAGAUUAUACUUAGGUUUUUCAUUCUCCUUAGCUUGUUUAUCCUUAGAGACUUGGCUAGAAGAGCCCCUCAAGAAAAAUCUCUUCAUCUUUUUCUGAAAAUUUCUGAAAUUUUUAGUAACUCAAAAUAAAAGUGAAGCAAACUCAACAAAAUUGAUAUCAACUACUCCCACAAGUGCCUAGAGCCUAUAUCAUGCAUUAAAAUUACUUGGGACCAUAUAAAUUUGACAUGCAAGCUCAAUAACAGGGUCACCUAGGCAGCAAAAAUUUGCAAUGAAUAAAGCACUAGAACAAAAACUAAUUGGACCAUUGGAGGAGUCACAUACCAAAGAACAAUCCCCCAAAGCAGUUUUGUGAACGGAGCUUUGAGCAAGGAGAUCGAAAAUGGCAGCAAGGUGAGCUAGAACUCGUGCUUGAGCUGGAUAGUGGUUUUUUGGGAGGAAGAAGAAGUGUGUGGGUGCAGGAAUAAGUGGAGGAGGGCCACCAUGGGCCCAUGAGGCAGGGGGCGCGCCCUGUAGGGGUGGGCGCACCCUGGACCCUCAUGGCCACGUGCCAGCUCCCCCUGCUAUGUUCUCAGUGCCAGGCAUUCUCAAAUAUUCCAGAAAAAUCAUAUUAAAUUUGCAUGGCAUUUGGAGAACUUUUAUUUUCGGGGUAUUUCUUAUUGCAAGGAUAAUUCAGAAAACAGACAGAAAAGUACUAUUUUACUUUAUUAAAUCUAAAUAACCGAAAGUAAAAGGAGGGUACAGAAGGUUGUGCUUUCUAAUUUCAUCCAUCUCAUGCUCAUCAAAAGGAAUCCAUUAACAAGGUUGAUCAAGUCUUGUUAACAAACUCAUUCCGAAUAGCAUGAAACCGGAGAAAUUUCGAAUAACACUAGGUUACCUCAACGGGGAUAUGCACAUCCCCAAUAAUAAGAAUAUCAUAUUUCUUCUUGACAGUAGGAAGAGGAAAUUCAAAACCUCCAAUAAUGAUAGUUGAAAUUUUUCCAAUAGAAUUGAUACUGUGAACUUGAGGUUGUUUCCUCGGAAAGUGUACCAUAUGCUCAUUACCAUUAACAUGAAAAGUGACAUUGCCUUUGUUGCAAUCAAUAACAGCCCCUGCAGUAUUCAAAAAGGGUCUACCAAGGAUAAUCGACAUUCUAUCGUCCUCGGGAAUAUCAAGAAUAACAAAGUCCGUUAAGAUAGUGACGUUUGCAACCACAACAGGCACAUCCUCACAAAUGCCGACAGGUAUAGUAGUUGAUUUAUCAGCCAUUUGCAAAGAUAUUUCAGUAGGUGUCAACUUAUUCAAUUCAAGUCUACAAUAUAAAGAGAGAGGUAUAACACUAACACCGGCUCCAAGAUCACAUAAAGCAGUUUUAACAUAAUUUGUUUUAAUGGAGCAACGUAUAGUUGGUACUCCUGGAUCUCCUAGUUUCUUAGGUAUUCCACCCUUAAAAGUAUAAUUAGCAAGCAUGGUGGAAAUUUCAGCUUCCGGUAUCUUUCUUUUAUUUGUAAUAAUAUCUUUCAUGUACUUAGCAUAAGGGUUUACUUUAAGCAUAUCAGUCAAUUGCAUACGUAAGAAGAUAGGUCUAAUCAUUUUAGCAAAGCGCUCAAAAUCCUCAUCAUCCUUUUUCUUGGAUGGCUUAGGAGGAAAAGGCAUGGGUUUCUGAACCCAUGGUUCUCUUUAUUUAGCGUGCUUCCUAGCAACAAAGUCUCUCUUAUCAUAAUGUUGAUUCUUUGAUUGUGGAUUAUCAAGAUCAACAGCAGGUUCAAUCUCUACAUCAUUAUUAUUGCUAGGUUGAGCAUCAACAUGAACAUUAUCAUUAACAUUAUCACUAGGUUCAUGUUCAUCACCAGAUUGUGUUUCAACAUCAGAAAUAGAAAUAUCAUUGGGAUUCUUAGGUGUGCCUACAACAGGUUCACUAGAAGCAUGCAAAGUCCUAUCAUUUUUAUUUUUCUUCUUUUUAGAAGGACUAGGUGCAUCUACAUUAUUUCUCUGAGAAUCUUGCUUAAUUCUCUUAGGGUGGCCUUCAGGAUACAAAGGUUCCUGAGUCAUUUUACCAGUUCUAGUAGCCACUCUAACAGCAAAAUCAUGUUUAUUAUUUAAUUUAUCGAGCAAAUCACUUUGAGCUUUAAGUACUUGUUCUGCUUGAGUGGUAACCAUAGAAGCAUAUUUACUAAUGAGUUUAAGUUCACCUUUGACUCUAGCCAUAUAAUCACUCAAGUGUCCAAUCAUGUAAGAAUUACUCUUUAAUUCUCUAACAACAUAAGCAUUGAAGUUUUCUUGUCUAGCCAUAAAGUCAUCAAAUUCAUCCAAGCAUUGGCUAGCAAACUUAGUAGAUGGGAUUUCAACCUUAUCAUAUCUAUAGAGAGAAUUUACCUUUACUACCUGUGUCGGGUUAUCAAGACAUGUGUUUCUUCAAUAGGUGGUAAAUUAAGACCAUGUAUUUCUUUAACAAGGGGUAAAUUCUUAACAUCUUCAGCUUUAAUACCUUUUUCAUUCAUAGAUUUCUUUGCCUCUUGCAUAUCUUCAGGACCGAGAAAUAGAACACCCCUCUUCUUCGAAGUUGGUUUAGGAGUUGGCUUAGGAGUUGGCUCAAGAAGUGUCCAAUUAUUUUCAUUAGUCAACAUAUUAUUCAAUAGCAAUUCAACUUGAUCGACUGUUCUUUCCCCAAAAACACAACCAGCACAACUAUCCAAGUGGUCCUUGGAAGCACCGGUUAGUCCAUUAUAAAAGAUAUCAAGUAUUUCAUUUUUCUUAAGAGGAUAAUCAGGCAAAGCAUUAAGUAAUCGAAGAAGCCUCCCCCAAGCUUGUGGGAGACUCUCUUCUUCAAUUUGCACAAAAUUAUGUAUUUCCCUCAAGGCAGCUUGUUUCUUAUGAGCAGGGAAAUAUUUAGCAGAGAAGUAAUAAAUCAUAUCCUGGGGACUACGCACACAGCCAGGAUCAAGAGAAUUAAACCAAGUUUUAGCCUCACCCUUUAAUAAGAAUGGAAAUACCUUAAGGAUAUAAUAGUAGCGAGAUUUCUCAUCAUUAGUGAACAGGGUGGCUAUCUCAUUUAACUUAGUAAGAUGUGCCACAACAGUUUCAGAUGCAUAGCCAUAAAAAGGAUCAGAUUCAACCAAAGUAAUUAUCUCAGGAUCAACAGAGAAAUCAUAAUCCUUAUCAGUAACAAAGAUAGGUGAAGUAGCAAAAGCAGGGUCAUAUUUCAUUCUAGCAUUCAGAGUUUUCUGUUUCAGUUUAGCUAAUAACUUCUUAAGAUCAGAUCUAUCAUUGCAAGCAAGAAAAUCUCUAGCAGUUUCUUCAUCCAUAACAUAACCCUUAGGAACAACAGGCAAUUCAUACUUAGGGGGAGAACCUUCAUCAUCACUAUCUUCAAUAAUUUCAUUUUCAAUAAUUUCAUUCUCUCUAACCCUAGCAAGUUGUUCAUCAAGAUAUUCACCUAAUGGCAUGGUAGUAUCAAGCAUAAAAGUAGUUUCAUCAUAAGUAUCAUGCAUAGUAGAAGUGGCAUCAUCAAUAACAUGCGACAUAUCAAAAUUAAUAGCAGAAGCAGGUUUAGGUGUCGCAAGCUUACUCAUAACAGAAGGAGAAUCUAGUGCAGAGCUAGAUGGCAGUUCCUUACCUCCCCUCGUAGUUGAGGAAUAAAUCUUAGUUCUUUCGUCUUUCAAGUUCCUCAUAGUGACCAGCAGAUAUAAAUCCCAAGUGACUCAAAGAAUAGAGCUAUGCUCCCAGGCAACGGCGCCAGAAAAUAGUCUUGAUAACCCACACGUAUAGGGGAUCGCAAUAGUUUUCGAGGGUAGAGUAUUCAACCCAAAUUUAUUGAUUCGACACAAGGGGAGCCAAAGAAUAUUCUCAAGUAUUAGCAGUUGAGUUGUCAAUUCAACCACACCUGGAUAACUUAGUAUUUGCAGCAAAGUAUUUAGUAGCAAAGUAGUAUGGAAGUAACGGUAACAGUGGCAAAAGUAACAGUAGUAGUUUUGUAGUAAUUGUAAAAGUAGCACCGGUAAAGUAAAUAAGCAAAGCACAAUAUGUGGAAAGCUCAUAGGCAUUGGAUCAGUGAUGGAUAAUUAUGUCGGAUGCGGUUCAUCAUGUAACAGUUAUAACAUAGGCUGAUGCAAAACUAGCUCCAGUUCAUCAAUGUAAUGUAGGCAUGUAUUCCGAAUAUAGUCAUACGUGCUUAUGGAAAAGAACAUGCAUGACAUUGAUGACCCACAAGUAUAGGGGAUCUAUCAUAGUCCUUUCGAUAAGAAAGAGUGUCGAACCCAACGAGGAGCAGAAGGAAAUAACAAGCGGUUUUCAGUAAGGUUUUCUCUGCAAGCACUGAAAUUGUAGGUAACAUGUGAUAAGAUAAAUUGUAACAAGUCACAAGCAAUGAAAGUAAAUAAAGUGCAGAAAGGUGGCCCAAUCCUUUUUGUAGCAAAGGACAAGCCUGGACAAUUUCUUAUAAUGAGAAAAGAGCUCCCGAGGACACAUGGGAAUUAUCAUCAAGCUAGUUUUCAUCACGCUCAUAUGAUUCGCGUUCGGUACUUUGAUAAUUUGGUAUGUGGGUGGACCGGUGCUUGGGUACUGCCCUUACUUGGACAAGCUUCCACUUAUGAUUAAACCCUAUUGCAAGCAGCCGCAAGUACAAAAGAAGUAUUAAGGUAAACCUAACCAUAGCAUGAAACAAGUGGAUCCAAAUCAGCCCCUUACGAAGCAACUUAUAAACUAGGGUUUAAGCUUCUGUCACUCUAGCAACCCAUCAUCUACUUAUUACUUCCCAAUGACUUCCUCUAGGCCCAAAUAAUGGUGAAGUGUCAUGUAGUCUACGUUCGCAUAACACCACUAGAGGAAAGACAACAUACAUCUCAUCAAAAUAUCGAACGAAUACCAAAUUCACAUGACUACUAAUAGCAAGACUUCACCCAUGUCCUCAGGAACAAACGUAACUACUCACAAAGCAUAUUCAUGUUCAUAAUCAGAGGAGUAAUAAUAUGCAUUAAGGAUCUGAACAUAUGAUCUUCCACCAAGUAAACCAAUUAGCAUCAACUACAAGAACUAAUCAACACUACUGGCAACCCACGGCUACCAAUUUGUGGUUUUGAUACAAGAUUGGAUACAAGAGAUGAACUAGGGUUUUGAGAGGAGAUGGUGCUAGCGAAGAUGUUGAUGGAGAUUGACCCCUUCCCGAUGAGAGGAUCGUUGGUGAUGACGAUGGUGAUGAUUUCCACCUCCCGGAGGGAAGUUUCCCCGACAGAACAGCUCUGCCGGAGCUCUAGAUUGGUUCCGCCAAGGUUCCGCCUCAUGGCGGCGGAGUUUCGUCCCGUAAGCUUUCCUCUGAUUUUUUCCAGGGUAAAAGCCUUCAUAUAGCAGAAGAUGGACACCGUAGGGCCACCAGGGGGCCCAGGAGACAGGGGUGAAAGUGGAACUAUCCCUAGGUGGUUUUGGUAAUUCAUAACAACAUAUAGCUCAUUGAGCUAAUGCUAUUCCAAGACUAUUAUUUCAGGAAAGCUCAAUGAAUGGCAUGGCAUGGAUGAUGAAAGUGGAUCCCUCAAAAUAUUAAGAACAAAGGAUUGGCUCAAGCUCAAAAGUUUAAGACUCUACAUUUUACAUUUUAGUGAUCCAAGAUCACAUUGAGUCUAUAGGAAAAGCCAAUACUAUCAAGGAGGGAUGAGGUGUUGCUUAAUGAGCCUCUUGCUUCAAGUGCUUAGUGAUAUGCUCCAAAAACCCUCAACUACUUUCUCACAUCCACAUAUGACCCAAACCCAAAGUCAAAAUCGGUCCUACCGAUUCUUUCUAUCUGGCGCCACCGAGUCCAAAUGUCAUAGCCACUGCCACAAACCCUAGGCAAAUCGGUCUCACCGAUAGGGAUCUCGGUCUCACCGAGAUGGGAUUGCAAACUCUUUGUUUCCCUUCGUAAUGUUUUCGUCUAACCGAAGUGAGCGAUCGGUCCCACCGAAAUUGCAAUGUAAACUCUCUGUUUCCCCUUUGUAACAUUUCGGUCUCACUAAAAAGAGCGAAUCGGUCCCACCGAGUUUACCUGACCAACUCUCUGGUUAGCUAAUUACCAAAAUCGGUCUCACCGAGUUUGUGUAAUCGGUCUCACCGAGAUUACGUUAUUCCCUAACCCUAACCAUAUCGGUCCCACCGAGUUGCAUGUCGGUCCCACCAAAAAUCCUAACGGUCACUAGAUUUGCUGAAUUGGUCCGGCCGAGUUUAUCAAUUCGGUCCCACCGUGUUUGGCAAGUUGUCUGUAACGGUUAGAUUUUUUGUGGAGGCUAUAUAUACCCCUCCACCUCCUCUUCAUUCGUGGAGAGAGCCAUCAGAACAAACCUACACUUCCAACUUACCAUUUCUGAGAGAGAACCACCUACUCAUGUGUUGAGGCCAAGAUAUUCCAUUCCUACCAUAUGAAUCUUGAUCUCUAGCCUUCCCCAAGUUGCUUUCCACUCAAAUCUCCUUUCUACCAGAUCCAAAUCCUAUGAGAGAGAGUUGAGUGUUGGGGAGACUAUCAUUUGAAGCACAAGAGCAAGGAGUUCAUCAUCAACGCACCAUUUGUUACUUCUUGGAGAGUGGUGUCUCCUAGAUUGGCUAGGUGUCACUUGGGAGCCUCUGACAAGAUUGUGGAGUUGAACCAAGGAGUUUGUAAGGGCAAGGAUAUCGCCUACUUCGUGAAGAUCUACCGCUAGUGAGGCAAGUCCUUCGUGGGCGACGGCCAUGGUGGUAUAGACAAGGUUGCUUCUUCGUGGACCCUUCGUGGGUGGAGCCCUCCAUGGACUCGCGCAACCGUUACCCUUCGUGGGUUGAAGUCUCCAUCAACGUGGAUGUACGGUAGCACCACCUAUCGGAACCACGACAAAAACAUCCGUGUCUCCAAUUGCGUUUGAAUCCUCCUAAACCCUUCCCUUUACAUUCUUGCAAGUUGCAUGCUUUAUUUUCCACUGCUCAUAUACUAUUUGCAUGCUUGCUUGAAUUGUGUGAAGAUUGCUUGACUUGUCCAAAGAUAGCUAAAAUCUACCAAAGUCUAAAAUUGGGAAAAGGUUAAGUUUUUAAUUGGUUAAGUAGUCUAAUCACCCCCCCUCUAGACAUACUUCAAGGUCCUACAAGUUGUAUCAGAGCCUUGGUCUCCAUUUGCUUUGAUUUCCAUAGCAUUUGGUGGUCAUAGCGUUGGUUUCAUAACCUAGGAGAGUAUGGCAUCUAUCGAGGGAAAUUAUCAUCGUAGAGGUCCUUACUUUGAUGGUACUAAUUUUGCUAGUUGGAAGCAUAAGAUGAAAAUGCAUAUUCUCGGACAUAACCCCGCCGUUUGGGCUAUUGUUUGUAUUGGCUUGCAAGGUGAAUUCUUUGAUGGGAGAGAGCCGAACCGUGAAGCUAACGCGGAUGAAUUGAAAAUGCUGCAAUACAACACUCAUGCUUGUGAUAUCCUCUUCAAUGGCUUGUGCCCCGAGGAAUUCAACAAAAUCAGCCGUCUUGAGAAUGCAAAGGAAAUUUGGGAUACUUUGAUUGAUAUGCAUGAAGGUAUCAACUCCGUCAAGGAAUCCAAGCUGGAUGUGCUCCAAAGUCAGCUUGACAAGUUCAAAAUGAAGGAUGGUGAAGGUGUCGCUGAAAUGUACUCUAGGCUUGCUCUUAUCACAAAUGAGAUUGCCGGCUUAGGAAGCGAAGAGAUGACCGACAGAUUCAUCAUCAAGAAGAUCCUAAGAGCAUUGGAUGGAAAGUAUGAUACCGUGUGCACAUUGAUCCAAAUGAUGCCAAAUUACAAAGAUCUCAAGCCAACGGAAGUCAUUGGAAGAAUUGUUGCUCAUGAGAUGUCACUCAAGGAUAAGGAGGAACUUCACAACAAGUCAAGUGGUGCUUACAAAGCCUCAUGUGAAGCCCCCACAUCAUCAAGUGAGAAACAAACCUUCAAUGAAGAGUUGAGCUUAAUGGUGAAGAACUUCAACAAAUUCUACAAGAGUAGAAGUAAAGAAAGAAGCUCCAAGUCAAGGUCCUACAAUGACAAAAGAUCUUCUAGUCGAGAGCGCAAUUGCUACAAUUGUGGGAGACCCGGACACUACUCCAACGAGUGUACGGCACCCUACAAAAGAAGCUCCAAGUCAAGGUCCUACAAUGACAAAAGAUCUUCUAGUCGAGAGCGCAAUUGCUACAAUUGUGGGAGACCCGGACACUACUCCAAUGAGUGUAUGGCACCCUACAAAAGAAGAGAAGAUUCUCCAAAAAGAAGAAGUAGAAGAGAAUAAUCACCACCAAGGGAGAGAAGGAGUAGAGAUGAUCGUUAUGAACGAAGACCCUCACGGAGAAGCAAGGAUUCGGAAAGGAAGGACAAGUCAUCAAAGAGCUACACAAAAUGAAGACAUCAAGCUCAUGUUGGUGAAUGGGUAUCCGGCUCCGACUCCGACAAUCACUCUGAGAGAAGCUAUCACUCCGACCCCGAAUAUACUCAAGAUGAAGGUGUUGCCGGUCUAGCACUUGUGUCAACCAACUCCUACGACAUAUUUGAUUCACCAAAUGAAGGAAUUGGAUGAUGCUUCAUGGCCAAAGGCCCAAAGGUAACACAUCCCGAGUAUGUUGAUUUCAAUAGUGAUGAAGAUGACUUGCUAGGUGAUGAUGAUCUACUUAUUGACAACUCUAGUAGUGAAUACUAUAUUGAAACAUCAAUUAAUCAUGCUAAUCAAGAUAAAACAAAUGACAAUGAUAAGGAGAAGAUUGAUCUUCUAACUAAAGAACUAAACACUCCUAAGUUAGCUCAUGAAACUAUCUUCGAAGAUCAUCAAGAACUUUUAAGGGCUCAUGAGAAGUUACGCUUUGAAAAGCUCAAUCUUGAGCAAGAGCAUGAGUUCUUAAAGGCAAUCAAUGAUGAUCUUCGUAAGAAAAGUUCUUCUUACAUUGCCAAGCGUUUACUCUUAUCUACUUACAUGCCUCGAGUCAACUCUAGUAACAAGAACAAGAAGGAUUCUUCCUCUAGUAGUAACAAUAAUAAUGCUAAAUCCAAUAUUGUUGCUUCUAGUAGUUCUCUUGAUUCCACUAAUGAUUCUCUUAGCCAAGUUACACUUGAGCAAGAAAAUAGCUUAUUGAAGGGAAUCAUAGAGAAAGGUGUAUACAAGAGCCUUGCCGGGAGUAAGCAAUUCGAGGAAAUUGUACGCAAGCAAGGAAGGCACCGGAAGAAUCAAGGUGUUGGUUUUGAACGAAAGUUCAAUGCCAAUGGAGUUGAGUGGGAAGAAGAUCAAUACCCCAAGACGAAGUUUGUCCCUCAACAAGAUAAGUAUGAUCCUCCUUCCUUCAAGGGAACACAAGCACAAGAUGAUCUUCCACCACAAGACCACAAGAACAAAGGCAAGGACAAGCUUCAAGAGGAGAUUGAUGCAUUUGAAGAAGCACCUAAGGCCUUGGUCAAGUGGGUUCCCAAGACUACGUCAAGUUCUACUUCAUCAAGUACAACUACAACUCCAAGGAUUCCCAUCAAGAUGAUGUGGAUCCCGAAGAAGAAGAACUAGAGAGUUCUUGAGGGUGACUCCGCCAACAUUCUUCACUCAUAUCAUUAUGGCAAGGACAAGUGCAAUCAACUUUCAUAUCUUCCACUAGUUCAAGGAGUCACAAACCCUCAUGUUGGUAAGGCAAGGGACAAGGUAACCUAAUGUUUUCAUGGACAUCAUAUUGUGUAUGCAUCACUCUAUGUCUAUGGAUAUUCUUGUUUGUUCCUUGUGGGACUAACCCAUGUAGGUAUUGAAAGUGCAACUCACUCCAAAGGAUUGCUCCAAAUGAUCUACAUCAACAUUGAGCAUCCACAUCUUCAACACCUACAUGAAGUCAUCAUCGACAAAAACCAAGGUUAGUUCAUCCCUCUAAGGGGGGAUCUCACAUCUAGGGGGAGCUUAACUCUAAGAAUUGAGUCAAAGAAACUCUAGUGAUGUGAACACAUCAAUGCAUUAUGUAAAAGUGGUAACCCCACUUGAGCUUAAACGAUGAGUAUGACCUAUGAUCAAAUGUUCUCAUUUGACUCCUAAGUCAUUAUACUCAUAUAUAUAUAUAUGACCUAGUCAUCGCCAAUUGUUUGAUAGAUGCUAGAAUUGGUUGUGCAUGCUUUGCCACAUAUUUCAUUUGCCAUUUUAUUAUGUGAGCAUGUUGGUUGCAUAUUUUACUCAUUCGAGGACAUCCACUUGUUGUUUUGAUUGUUUGGUUUCUUUUUCUUUUGCCAAGUGGAUGUACAAGAAUGCCUAAGAACCUUCUCUAGCUAUCUAUGCUUUUCUCGUCUCAAACUCUAUUCAUGCUACAUCACAAAAUUUGAUCAAGUCAGAUUCGAACCACUCUGUGUGAGGAGCACUCGGAGUCCCCGAUUUGUCAUAGACUUAAACUUUCAAAACUUCUUUGUGAUUCUCGGUCUGACCGAUUCCUCCAUUUCGGUCCUACCGAGAUCACUAAGUCGAUCUAGGUUUUCAAUCUUGGUGCAACCGAUUUGAACUGUUCGGUCACACCGAGUUGCUGUAACUGUCAACAGUUAUGCAUCUCGGUGCCGCCGAGUUGUUCCACUCGGUCACACCGACAGUGUCGGGCUAUAUAUUCACACGGGCAAAACAUUUGGAAAACUUUCUCCAAACCUCUUCGCCCGCGCAUAGCUCGCUCUGCCUACUAGGUCUCCGGAUCAUCGACUUCGUCGCCAGCCGCCUCCUGUUGCUGGUCUCCGCCGCCGUCAACGGAUUUCUUCUCCGCCGUUGCCGCCGUAGCGAGUUCAUCACCGAACUAGGGUAUGAUCACAGUGCUAUCCUUGUCUGAUUCUCAACACAUUGUGUUCAUUAUGAUUCUUGCCACGAUUGAAACACCUCUAUCCAUUCAAAACAAUCCUUAGAAUAGAUGCAAUUUGAAAAUUUAGGGUUAGGUUUCCGCCGAAACCAUCUCGGACCCACCGAGUUGAAAAACUCGGUCCCACCGAUUCGGCUAACGCCAUUGCACUAGUAACUCUCGGUCUGACCGAGAAUUGCUAAUCGGUGUGACUGAUUUUAAAACUUUUGAAACCCUAGCAGUCUCAGUGCCACCGAACUGUGACUAGGUCUGAACGAGUUCACUAGUUUAGGUUCCAAAACUGCUUCGGUAUCACCGAGUUUGAAAAUCGGUUGAUCCGAAAUGCUUUUUGUGGGAAACUAAAACUAAGUUUUUGAAUCAUUCUUUUGCAAAAAUCUCUGCAUUUUGUGAUGCUCAUCCACUCUAUCUCAUCUAUAACUAUUCACAGGGUCAGCAGUCAGUAAUUUCAGCAUGUCAGACCAAAAUGAUAGUCAGAACAGGGAAGAAGAGCAGAUUCACAUGAGUGAGGGCACUAGUCCCUCAAGUUCUUCAGAUGAUGGCAGCAGAAGCACUCCUAGCAAUCUGCCUAAAGCAGCCACAAGACAGAAGAAGAGAACCUCAGACUCUGAGGAUGAGGACUAUGUGGCAGCUGAAGAUGAGGCUACUUCCAAGAAGGUAGUGCUCAAAAAGGAGUAUGGCUCAGCAAAGACCUCAAAUUCUGGACUUAAUAGGAAGGUUCCUGCCAAGAGGACACCUAUGCUGAAGGUCAGAGGAUCAACAUAGGUACCUGAAAAGCCUGAUCCCAAAGAGGCACCUGCAAGAAGGAUUACCACUUCCAAACCCAAGAAGGUUCCCACUGGAGAAACCAUGAAGUUUGCUAUUGAGUCAGAAGAUGAAGCUGCUGGUCAAGAUAAGAAGAAAAAGAGAGUCAAAACCACUACUGCCAAAGUUCUUGGCAAUCCCUCUAUGAGGAGAGACUCCGAGGAAGAGGAAGAAGAGGUUGCUGCACCAGCACCCAAGGCACAAAAGCUGAUGGGUGAUGCUAUAAAGUCAGGGGCUGCAACAUCAAAGCCCAAGGAAGCACCCAAAGCUGCCUCCAAGCCCAAGAGUGCACCAAAGAGGAAUACCAGGAGUAUACCAGCUACUGAGAAGAACAAGGCCCCAGUGCCUGAAGUUGCUGCUGAAGAAGAUGAUGAAGGACAAGUCCCGAGGAAGCUCAAACCCAAGAUUCCAGACCACAAUGAUGCUCAUCCUGUGGCUGAGAACAUGAACAUCAGGAGAGAUUCAGGGUUGAGGCUAUGGAGAUUGUCUGAUCCAUAUGCAAUCAGAAGAAGGACUGAUGUUGACUACAGGUUCCACACAAAGGAACAACAGGAUUUCUAUGAGACAAUCUUGUUGGACAAGAAGCCUAUAGUGUGUGAUAUGAGAUGGGUCGACUGGACCUACAUGAAGGAGAAUGAGGAACACUAUCCUAGAGUGCAAGACAGUUUCAUUGCUUAUGGAGUUGCAGAUUUUGUUGGACAGAAGCUCAUAAACUGGAAUGAUGAGCUCAUUAUGCAAUUUUACUCCACAGCACAUUUCUAUCCAGAUGGAAGGAUAGUUUGGAUGUCUGAAGGUACAAGGUACCAAUCAACUAUUGAGGAAUGGGCCAAUCUGAUCAAUGCCCCAAAGGAGAGUGAAGAUGACCUGGAUGUUUAUGCCAAGAAAAAGAUGGAUCACAAUUCUAUGUCACAUAUGUACAAGGAGAUCCCAGACAAAGCUCUUGAGACUUUCAAGUUUGGGUCAGUCCAUUAUCUUCUGUCAGGGCUGCCAACGAUCAUCUGGAUUCUAAGGCACACUCUUUUGCCCAAGUCAGGUGACCACAACAUGAUCAUAGGGCAUGCUAUAAACUUGCUACACUUGUUUGAUGUGCCAUAGAAAUUCAAGGUCAUGAGCCUCAUGGUUGAGACCAUCAAGAGGACAGCAGCAGACCAAAAGAGAAGUUGUGGAUAUGCCCCACAAAUUCAGGAGUUGAUUAACUCAAAGAUGGGCACAGGAAAAUACUUGCUGGACAAAGAACAUUUUGCUAUCAAUCCAGAAUUUGAGGACAAUCAAGUUGUGAUGAAUGAGAAUGAACCAUCAUCAGUACAAGCUCAAGAGAAGGAGAAAGCAAAGAAAGAGAAGGCUGCCAAGAUGCCAACUCAAGAGGAGGCAUCUGAAUACUUUUUGAAGAACAAGCAGGAGCAGCUUGGUUACUUGAUAGCAUCAACUCUGAGGAUUGAGAAGGGGUUGGCCACCCUAACUCAAAACUAGGAGAACCUGGAAAUAAUCAUGGAACAAAUUUUUUUUGAUUUAGAUGUCAAAGUAACUGAGAUUCAGUCACUUGUGGAGCAGCUACAGGAUGACAUGCAGGAGAGGAAGGGCAAGACAACCACAGAUGCAUUUGCCAGAGUGCCUAGAUCUUAGAGAUCAGCUGCACUGCCAGUGAUAGACACCAGAGCCACUUCAUAUGCACCAGCUACAGCUCCUACAGCUCCAGUGCAACCAGCUUCAGCACCCACACCUCCAGCUCCAUCUACAUCAACUGAUGCUUUCGUCCUUGGCGUUCUAUCUACACCACCACCUGAAGACCAAGCAUGAGAGUCGAUCUAGUACUAUGCAUUUUCUAUGAACUUUUUGGUAACUUGUUGCCAAAGGGGGAGAAAAAUGUAUAGAUCAUAGGCUUCAAGAGAGAGUGAUGCUUUUAUUCUCUCUUGCUUUUGUGGUUGAACUUUAUUUGCUUGUUUGAGAUACUCUAUGCUAUUAUCUGUGAGACAGUGAUGAUCAUGUGUUUGAUCAUAAGCUACACUUAUGCUUGUUUGAUGAUAUUAUCUUACUUAUCCUUAUAUGAUCAUUCACUUUGCUUGGUGAUGAGUGCAUGUAUUCAAUCUUUAUUAUUUUGAGCGCUCCACCAAGAUGUAUGUGACAUGGAAGAGUAACCCAUGAGCCUAAUUGCUUGUGCAUUUGCAGUCCAAAGCAAAUCUUAAUCUAUGCACAAAUUUAGGGGGAGCUCUUGCUUAUCACAUACUUCUCAAAGCGGCGAUGUUUUUCAAUCUUAUUAUCAUUUGUCGAAGCUUUGAUCUAUAUGUUGUCAUCAAUUACCAAAAAGGGGGAGAUUGACAGUGCAACUAUCCCUAGGUGGUUUUGGUAAUUCAUAACAACAUAUAGCUCAUUGAGCUAAUGCUAUUCCAAGACUAUUAUUUCAGGAAAGCUCAAUGAAUGGCAUGGAAUGGAUGAUGAAAGUGGAUCCCUCAAAAUAUUAAGGACAAAGGAUUGGCUCAAGCUCAAAAGUUUAAGACUCUACAUUUUACAUUUUAGUGAUCCAAGAUCACAUUGAGUCUAUAGGAAAAGCCAAUACUAUCAAGGAGGGAUGAGGUGUUGCUUAAUGAGCCUCUUUCUUCAAGUGCUUAGUGAUAUGCUCCAAAAACCCUCAACUACUUUCUCACAUCCACAUAUGACCUAAACCCAAAGUCAAAAUCGCUCCUACCGGUUCUUUCUAUCCAGCGCCACCGAGUCCAAAUGUCAUAGUCACUGCCACAAACCCUAGGCAAAUCGGUCUCACCGAGAUGGGAUUGCAAACUCUCUGUUUUCCUUCGUAACGUUUCGGUCUAACCGAAGUGAGCGAUCGGUCCCACCAAGAUUGCAAUGUAAACUCUCUGUUUCCCCUUCGUAACAUUUCGGUCUCACCGAAAAGAGCGAAUCGGUCCCACCGAGUUUACCUGACCAACUCUCUGGUUAGCUAAUUACCAAAAUUGGUCUCACCGAGUUUGUGUAAUCGGUCUCACCGAGAUUACGUUAUGCCCUAACCCUAACCAUAUCGGUCCCACCGAGUUGCAUGUUGGUCCCACCGGAAAUCCUAACGGUCACUAGAUUUGCUGAAUCGGUCCGGCCGAGUUUAUCAAUUCGGUCCCACCGAGUUUGGCAAGUUGUGUGUAAUGGUUAGAUUUUGUGUGGAGGCUAUAUAUACCCCUCCAUCUCCUCUUCAUUCGUGGAGAGAGCCAUCAGAACAAACCUACACUUCCAACUUACCAUUUCUGAGAGAGAACCACCUACUCAUGUGAUGAGGCCAAGAUAUUCCAUUCCUACCAUAUGAAUCUUGAUCUCUAGCCUUCCCCAAGUUGCUUUCCACUCAAAUCUCCUUUCUACCAGAUCCAAAUCCUAUGAGAGAGAGUUGAGUGUUGGGGAGACUAUCAUUUGAAGCACAAGAGCAAGGAGUUCAUCAUCAACGCACCAUUUGUUACUUCUUGGAGAGUGGUGUCUCCUAGAUUGGCUAGGUGUCACUUGGGAGCCUCCGACAAGAUUGUGGAGUUGAACCAAGGAGUUUGUAAGGGCAAGGAGAUCGCCUACUUCGUGAAGAUCUACCGCUAAUGAGGCAAGUCCUUCGUGGGCGACGGCCAUGGUGGGAUAGACAAGGUUGCUUCUUCGUGGACCCUUCGUGGGUGGAGCCCUCCGUGGACUCGCGCAACCGUUACCCUUUGUGGGUUGAAGUCUCCAUCAACUUGGAUGUACGAUAGCACCACCUAUCGGAACCACGACAAAAACAUCCGUGUCUCCAAUUGCGUUUGAAUCCUCCUAAACCCUUCCCUUUACAUUCUUGCAAGUUGCAUGCUUUAUUUUCCGCAGCUCAUAUACUCUUUGCAUGCUUGCUUGAAUUGUGUGAAGAUUGCUUGACUUGUCCAAAGAUAGCUAAAAUCUGCCAAAGUCUAAAAUUGGGAAAAGGUUAAGUUUUUAAUUGGUCAAGUAGUCUAAUCACCCCCCCCCCCUCUAGACAUACUUCAAGGUCCUACAAGGGGGCGCGGCCAGUAGGGGUGGGCGCGCUCCCCACCCUCCUGGCCUGGGUAUGGGCCCCCUCUGGUAGUUUCUUCGCUCAAUAUUUCUUAUUAAUUCCAAAAAUAACUUCUGUGGAGUUUCAGGAUUUUUGGAGCAGUGCAGAAUAGGUUUCCAAUGUUUGCUCCUUUUCCAGCCAGAAUUCCAGCUGCCGGCAUUCCCCCUCUUCAUGGUAAACCUUGUAAAAUAAGAGAGAAUAGCCAUAAGUAUUGAGAUAUAAUGUGUAAUAACAGCCCAUAAUACAAUAAAUAUUGAUAUAAAAGCAUGAUGCAAAAUGGACGUAUCAGACAUCUUUUGUCCUACCCUCCCAUGGCAGCGGGGUCUUAGUGAAAACUAAGGGAUAUUAAGGCCUCCUUUUAAUAGAGUACUGGACCAAAGCAUUAACACGUAGUGAAUACAUGAACUCCUCGAACUACGGUCAUCACCGAGAAGUAUCCCGAUUAUUGUCACUUCGGGGUUGUAGGAUCAUAACACAUAAUAGGUGACUAUAGACUUGCAAGAUAGGAUCAAGAACUCACAUAUAUUCAUGAAAACAUAAUAGGUGCAGAUCUGAAAUCAUGGCACUCGGGCCCUAGUGACAAGCAUUAAGCAUAGCAAAGUCAUAGCAACAUCAAUCUCAUAACAUAGUGGAUACUAGGGAUCAAACCCUAACAAAACUAACUUGAAUUUACAUGGUAAAUCUCAUCCAACCCAUCACCGUCUAGCAAGCCUACGAUGGAAUUACUCACGCACGGCGGUGAGCAUCAUGAAAUUGGUGAUGGAGGAUGGUUGAUGAUGACGACGGCGAUGAAUCCCCCUCUUCGGAGCCUCGAGCGGACUCCAGAUCAGCCCUCCCGAGAGAGAUUAGGGCUUGGCGGCGGCUCCGUGUCGUAAAACGCGAUGAAACUUUUUCUCUAAUUUUUUUCUCCACGAAAGCAAAUAUAUGGAGUUAGAGUUGAGGUCGGUGGACAUCGAGGGGGCCCACGAGGCAGGGGGGCGUGCCCCCACCCUCGUGGACAGGGUGUGGGCCCCCUGACACUGAUUCUUUCGCCAGUAUUUUUUAUUAAUUCUGAAAAGUUGCUCCGUGGAUUUUCAGGUCAUUCCGAGAACUUUUAUUUCUGCACAAAAAUAACACCAUGGCAGUUCUGCUGAAAACAGCGUCAGUCCGGGUUAGUUCCAUUCAAAUCAUGCAAGUUAGAGUCCAAAACAAGGGCAAAAGUACUUGGAAAAGUAGAUACGACGGAGACAUAUCAACUCCCCCAAGCUUAAACCUUUGCUUGUCCUCAAGCAAUUCAGUUGACAAACUGAAAGUGAUAAAGAAAAAGUUUUACAAACUCUGUUUGCUCUUGUUGUUGCAAAUAUGUAAAGCCAGCAUUCAAGUUUUCAGCAAAGAUUAUGAACUAACCAUAUUCACAAUAACACUUAGGUCUCAUGUUUACUCAUAUCAAUGGCAUAAUCAACUAGAGAGCAAUAAUAAUAAAACUCGGAUGACAACACUUUCUCAAAACAAUCAUAAUAUGAUAUAAUAAGAUGGUAUCUCGCUAGCCCUUUCUGAGACCGCAAAACAUAAAUGCAGAGCACCUUUAAAGAUGCGGCGGCUUCGUAUCGUAAAACGCGAUGAAACUUUUUCUCUAAUUUUUUUCUCUGCGAAAGCAAAUAUAUGGAGUUGGAGUUGAGGUCGGUGGACGUCCAGGGGGGCCAUGAGGCAGGGGGCAUGCCCUAGGGGAGGGGGCGCGCCCCCCACCCUCGUGGACGGUGUGUGGUCCCCCUGACGCUGAUUCUUUCGCCAAUAUUUUUUAUUAAUUCUUGCUCCGUGGAUUUUUAGGUCAUUCCGAGAAUUUUUAUUUCUGCACAAAAAUAACACCAUGGCAGUUCUGCUGAAAACAACGUCAGUCCGGGUUAGUUCCAUUCAAAUCAUGCAAGUUAGAGUCCAAAACAAGGGCAAAAGUGUUUGGAAAAGUAGAUACGACGGAGACGUAUCAGUGUCCAUGUGCGAAAACUUCUUGGGUUGUCGACCGCACUGGGGUCUUUUCAAGCACAUCUUCACAAUCCGCUCCCAGUCGGUGAAGAAAGCGAAUUCGAGUGACGAGAGAACAUACGUUAUCCAAAUGUGUGGGGGUUUGGGCAUCCAGGAGAGGAAAAGGAGUUCUUUCCCUUCCAUGACACUUCCUGAGUCGGUCAGGGGCUGCCAGUCGACCUGGAUCUACUUCCAGGACAUUGCGACUCCAGGUCAGUUGACUGGACUUCCCCCUUUUUCUUUCGAUCAUGCCUAGCAACCUUCUUCACUGAUAGUGACCGCUGUGGAGAGGGUGGAAACGAACAUGUUGGUCGAGAGUGUGGUCAGUUGAUCAAUCAGGGUGUCACGGGAAUGGACUUGUUGGAGGUGUUUCUCAGUCGACGCAUCCAGCCGCUCCAGGCUCGUGAUCACUCGAUGUGGAUGUACUCUGGAGCCAACAACACCGCUCGGGUUCAUCCGGAGGAGGUUUCGGCCAAGACAGUGGCCCUGUGGCUGAAGGGUAUUACAGGAAAUCCGGACAACCCCAGGGGAGCCAGGAGAGUCGACCCAUUUAGCGACAGCAACCAGCCAGAUAAGGUUUGGUCUCUACUACCAACUGUACUUCGAUACAUUUUGCGACUGUCUUCGAAUCCGACUGAUAUUUGCUUGACUUCUUGUCUUGUAGGUUUACACUAAGAUGUACUCGAUGCCCAAUGGUGAACAAGCUCUGGAGAAGGACCAGGAGAGAGAGGACAGUGCGGAGGAAAGCGGCGAUUGGCAAUCUCCAGAAGACGAGGACGAGGAGGAGAGUGAUGAGUCAGACGACGAUGAGAUAGUCGACUCACCACCUCACACGGAGCGUCGAUCCAAGCUACUCCAUGAUCCAGUGGGCGGGCGUGGCAAGACCGUGGCUCCAAGCACUCAAGCACAGAAGCGCACUCGGACUUCGACUCCAGAGCCGACGGAGAAGGUCGCCAAGCAGCCCAAGGUCGUCCCCACAAAGGCUCGGAAGACUUUGCCCAAGAUUAAGAUGGACGUUCAUGUUGCCUCUGGGCGAGUGUUCUUUCUUUCUGUGUUCUCUUCCACCGACUGAUACUUCUGUUCUGACCGAAUGAAUUAUAAACUUUUCCAGCCCAGCCUCAGUCGCGACUGAUAUGGACGUUGACAAGGCCCCAGGUGACGAGGAAACCGAUGACGCGGCUACCUCCAAAGCUAGUAUGCUCUAUUCGACUUGAAUUUAUUCUGCCGAUUGGAUUGUUGGCCGAUUGAACUCUUGAGGUUGCUUUUUGUUGCAGCUCCACGGGACGUUAUUGAGCUUCCGGAUGAUGAAGAAGAAGUGCCUCUGAGAGAGAGAGGAGGAGGGGUAGGGCGUCAAGCGGGAAAGUGCCCGGGUGUCAGGUCCCUCAAUCGACACCGGUGCUUGAGACAGUGGUCCAGCGAUCCGGAGAUCUGGCUCGGACCAAUGUUAGCUUCGCCAAUCCACUGUCGACUGACCGUCCAUCAGGGUCGACUGCUCAGACCCUUGCCGCUCCAGUACAACUCCAUGCAUCUGACCCUAUGACUUCUCCGACGGCAUUGCCAUCAUCGCUCUUCACUGCAUAUCAGACUCCAGAUGAUUCACCGAGUGCUGCCAGGGAGGCUCUUCUCCAAGUAAAUCUCGUGAUGGAGCAUAUGAAGGUGGUGCAUGAGGCCAGUGAGGUUGCUUAUAACGCCAGCACCGCUCUGCAAACCAACGUCAAGGUUAGUUGAUUCCCGACUGGUAUCUUGAAUAAUGAUAGUUGCCAUUGUUGCUUUACUGUCCAUACGGUGUUCUUGGAUGAGCGUUUUGGAACCUAUUAUGUGCAUCUAUCAUGGGUCUGUGUUUCACAUCCAAUCACCCACUGGGUGUUUCUGUCUUAGAGUUGUAUAGUUCUUCCACUUGAGUCGACUAGGUUGAGUCGAGUGUAAAACUGAACCACUGGGGGCACGCAGAGUGCACCCACUGGAUGUAGUCCCCGAGACCGCGGUCGACUGUUAGUUGUGGGCUGCGGUCUGAGAAUCUCCUCUCUUUUUUACUCAUGCUGGGAAGACCAUGCCGAGUGUAAAACUGAACCAGUGGGGGCAUAUCUUAUGUGCUGACUGCAGAGGUCUUGUGAUCUUGGGGCCCAACUUUCUGAACUGAAUAAGAAGCAGAUCAGCCUCAACCUUGAUCUGGAACUGGCCAAGAAGAACCUCAAGAAUGCUCAGGACGAAGCAUCUAUCAUGGGACGUAACCAGUCGUCGACUGUCCACCUUGUGACUCGCUCUUCCUCCUUUUUUUAGUCUCUGUGAACCGAGUGAUUUCACUCGAACAGAUGUGCGUAGUGAAAACCGUCAACUUCAAGCUCGUCUGAAGAAUGUUAUUUCUUUAGAGAAAAUGAAGCAGGCUCUGGAGAAGAAGGAUCAGGAUCUUGCUACAGCCCAGAAGGAGGCGCGAGAGAAAACAACACUUGCAGACAAGAAGCUGGCUUCAGUCAGCAAGUUGGAAGGGCAGAACUCCAAGUUGAAGACCGCCAUCGUUCAAGCCAAUCGGGAGGUCGAACAACUGAAGAAAGACAAGGACAACUUGACCCAUGAAGUUGGAAGCCUCAAGGCCAAGAAGGGCGAAUUAGAGUCUUAUCUGGGGCAGCUUGCUGCAAAGUUGGUCUUGAAGCUUUAAGGUAUUUUCUCUUGUUCGACUAAUUUGUUGACGUCGACUGACAUAUCUUGUUAAACUGUCGACUCACUGUUUUUCCGACUGUGCAGAACUUUGUCAAGACUUUGAAGCAGAAACCAGGCGGGUCGAGACGGGUCUCGACCCCAUAAAUUGUCCUGUCAAAGAUGAUGUUGCAAUGAAUGUGAUGCGGUUGGAGUCACGCACGGACAGCGCUGUUGAUUAUCUUGCCCGACUGAAGGCGGCGAUGACGCGGGUUGAUGUUGAACUCUGGCCUCAGGCGGAACUCUCACAGGAUCUCGAGUCUCUGAUGACUCGACUGAAUCAAAUAUCUGACCGAGUGCAAGAAUGGAAGAAAUCAUCUGUUCGCUGCGGCGCUGAUGUUGCCCUAUCAUUGGUCCGAGUGCAUUGCAAGGAUGUCAGAGAAGACAAGCUGGCGGCUCUCAAGGUUGCGGACACCAAAAAGCACAGUUUCCAGUCCUUCAUGGACACUUUCCUUGAUGCCGCCACUUGCAUCAUAGACAGCGUUGACCUUGGCAGUUUCUGCGAUCCAGCAAGUCCUUCUCUUGACGAAUGAACAAAACAUUAUGCCCCACUUUUAUUUGGCUUGGGAUGCCGAGUGAUUAUGUAAUCGUUAAACUCUUUCAGGCUUGAUGUCUGAGUACUUCUGCCUGCCGCGGUCCUGAACUUUUGCGGGAUUUAUCUGAACCUGAAUUUCCUUGAAUAUCAUGGCUUUUGUUUUGGUUUUGAACUGUUUUUGACUGUCUUUCGAAUCGGGUGAACUUGAUCUUUUCACCUUUUGUCGAGUGAAGUGUACAUUGUACUUGUGACGCAGCUCAGACGUGGUGUUCAGUCGACACCUCGUCGUCCUUGUGGAUCGAGAUGGUACAUUGUACUUGUGACGCAGCUCAGACGCGGUGUUUAAUCGACACCUCGUCAUCCUUGCGGAUCGGGAUCACACAUUGUACUUGUGGCGUAGCUCAGACGUGGUGUUCAAUCGACACCUUGUUGUCCUUGCGGACCGGGAUGGAGCAUUCGUUGUAUUUGUGGCGUAGCUCAGAGGGUAUUUGUGACUUAGGUGAGUACGGGGUCGCAGCUAAGCCCCCGAGUGGGAGGAUUGCUCUCCACUCGGAAUGUUUUUCACUUAGGCGAUUUCGGGGUCGCGACUAAGCCCCCGGGUGGGAGGAUUGCUCUCCACUCGGAAUGUUUUUAAUUUAGGCGAUUUCGGGGUCACGGCUAAGCCCCCGAGUGGGAGGAUUGCUCUCCACUCAGAAUGUUUUUAACUUAGGUGAGUANNNNNNNNNNNNNNNNNNNNNNNNNNNNNNNNNNNNNNNNNNNNNNNNNNNNNNNNNNNNNNNNNNNNNNNNNNNNNNNNNNNNNNNNNNNNNNNNNNNNNNNNNNNNNNNNNNNNNNNNNNNNNNNNNNNNNNNNNNNNNNNNNNNNNNNNNNNNNNNNNNNNNNNNNNNNNNNNNNNNNNNNNNNNNNNNNNNNNNNNNNNNNNNNNNNNNNNNNNNNNNNNNNNNNNNNNNNNNNNNNNNNNNNNNNNNNNNNNNNNNNNNNNNNNNNNNNNNNNNNNNNNNNNNNNNNNNNNNNNNNNNNNNNNNNNNNNNNNNNNNNNNNNNNNNNNNNNNNNNNNNNNNNNNNNNNNNNNNNNNNNNNNNNNNNNNNNNNNNNNNNNNNNNNNNNNNNNNNNNNNNNNNNNNNCUCUCCACUCGGAAUGUUUUUAACUUAGGCAAUUUCGGGGUCGCGGCUAAGCCCCCGAGUGGGAGGAUUGCUCUCCACUCAGAAUGUUUUUAACUUAGGCGAGUAUGGGGCCGCAGCUAAGCCCCCGAGUGGGAGGAUUGCUCUCCACUCAGAAUGUUUUUAACUUAGGCGAUUUCGGGAUCGCAGCUAAGCCUCCGAGUGGGAGGAUUGCUCUCCACUCGGAAUGUUUUUAACUUAGGCGAUUCCGGGGUAGCAGCUAAGCCUCUGAGUGGGAGGAUUGCUCUCCACUCAGAAUGUUUUUAACUUAGGCGAAUCAGGUUCGCGGCUAAGCCACCCACUGGGGAAUUUAGACACAAGUGAUUACGGGGAACCAAUCAUUAAGAUACUGCAAAAGUCUUGUCUUUGAAAAUCAAACCGAAGUACUCUUAUUACAACUCGUCGGGUCGAGUGAUUCUAGGUGUAGAAAGGAUGAACCAGCUCCGCGUUCCAUUCGCGUGGCUCGUCCAUAUCCUUGGCUACAUUGUAGAUGUGGUAUGCUCCAUUGUGAAGUACCUUGGUGAUGAUGAAGGGACUUUCCCAGGCCAGAGCAAGCUUGUGAGGUCGUUUCUGAUCCACUCGGAGCACAAGGUCUCAUUCCUGAAAUGCUCGACCUCUGACAUUGCGAUCAUGGAAUCGACGCUGAUCUUGUUGAUAGAUGGUCGACCGAACCAAAGCCAUCUCGCGCUCUUCCUCUAGGAGAUCAACUGUGUCUUCACAUGCUUGCUCUGCUUCAGCUUCUAAGAACAGUUCCACACAGGGAGCAUUGUGCAACAAGUCACUUGGAAGCACAGCCUCAGCGCCGUACACCAGGAAGAAAGGGGUUCGAUCAGUCGACCGGUUGGGCGUUGUUCUCAGCCCCCAUAGGUCCGACGGUAAUUCAGUCACCCAAGCUCCAGCAGCAUGCUUAAGGUCGCGCAUCAGUCGAGGCUUUAACCCUUGAAGGAUCAAGCCAUUCGCCCUUUCAGCCUGUCCAUUCGACUGCGGGUGUGCAACGGACGCAUAGUUGACCCGAGUGCCUUGGGAUGCACAUAACGCCUUGAACUCAUCAGAAUCAAAGUUGGAGCCGUUAUCUGUGAUGAUGCUAUGAGGAACCCCAUAUCUGAAUAUCAACUCCUUGAUGAAACUGACGGCAGUGCCUGCUCCAAGGUUUUUGAUGGGCUUGGCUUCGAUCUACUUGGUGAACUUGUCGACUGCUAUGAGCAAAUGGGUGAAACCACUCGCGCCGGUCUUGAAGGGUCCAACCAUAUCCAAUCCCCAGACUGCAAAUGGCCAUACGAGUGGAAUAGUCUUCAAGGCAGAUGCAGGCUUGUGGGACAAGUUGGAGUAGAAUUGGCAACCUGCGCACUUGUCAACUAUAUCUUUCGCCAUCUCAUUUGCUCGAGGCCAAUAGAAUGCCGCUCGGUAUGCUUUGGCCAUGAUGGUCUGAGAGGACGCAUGGUGACCACAGGUCCCCGAGUGGAUAUCGUUUAGGAUCAUUCGACCUUCUUCCGGGGUGAUGCAGCGCUGAGCCACUCCUGUGACACUUUCUCUGUAAAGCUACCCUUUCAUCACGGUGAAAGCUUUCGAUCGACGGACUAUCUGGUGAGCCUCAUCUUCAUCCUCUGGGAGUUCCUUUUUGAGAAUGUACGCGAUGUACGGUACUGUCCAAUCGGGUGUGACCACCAAGACUUCCAUGAUCAGGUUGACCAUGGCUAGAACCUCGAUCUCAGUCGGGUUGGUAGAACUUAUCGGUUACGGGGGCUCUUCCUUGAAGGGAUCUUCUUGCACUUACAGGGUAUGGAGAUGCUCGAAGAACACAUUGCUGGAGAUAGGCUUUUGAGUGGAACCUAUCUUCGCCAGAUCAUCAGCAGCUUGAUUCUUGAUUCGUGGUAUGUGGUGGAGCUCUAACCCCUCAAACUUCUUCUCUAGCUUUCUUACUGCAUUGCAAUAACCUGUCAUUGCGGGACUCCUGACAUCCCAUUCUUUCAUUACUUGGUUAACCACUAAGUCUGAGUCACCAUAAACCAUCAAGCGCCGGACGUCGAGUGAAAUGGCCAUACGCAACCCAUACAAUAGUGCCUCAUACUCAGCUUCAUUGUUCAAAGAAUCAAAGUGAAUCUGGAGUACAUAACUGAGCUUGUCUCCUCAUGGGGAUACUAAGACCACUCCUGCACCAGAGCCAUUUAACAUCUUGGAUCCAUCAAAGAACAUGGUCCAAUGUUCUGACUGAAUUUGUGUCGGCUGUUGUUGUUCUGUCCACUCUGCGAGGAAAUCUGCAAUUACUUGAGACUUAAUGGCCUUCUUUGCCUCAAACUUGAUGUCUAAAGGAAGAAGUUCAAUCGCCCACUUUGCCACUCGACCAGUUGCAUCUCUGUUAUUCAGAAUCUCUGACAAUGGAGCGUCGCUGAUGACUGAAAUUGAGUGGUCAGAGAAAUAGUGUGCAACCUUCUUCAUGGUCAGGUAAAUCCCAUAAACAAGCUUCUGAUAGUGAGGAUAUGUCUGCUUGGACAGGGUUAAGACUUCUGAAAUAUAAUACACGGGGCGCUGAACUUUGAAGGCCUUGCCUUCUUCUUCUCGCUCGAUUGUGAGCACUGUGCUAACAACUUGUCCUGUGGCUGCGAUGUAAAGCAGUAAAGGCUCCUUGCUAACCGGAGCAGCAAGCACCGGCUGGGUGGAAAGCAGAGCUUUGAGCUCUUCAAACGCUGCUUCAGCUUCGUCAUUCCACUCGAACUUGUCGAAUUUUUUCAUCAAUUGGUAAAGAGGCAGUGCCUUUUCACCGAGGCGUGAGAUGAAUCGGCUCAAUGCAGCCAAACAACCAGUAAGCUUCUGAACAUCAUGCACACGCACUGGGCGUUUCAUUCGGAGGAUUGUGCCAAUCUUCUCUGGAUUUGCGUUGAUCCCUCAUUCGGAAACGAGUAAACCAAGUAACUUUCCGCAUGGGACUCCGAAUGUGCAUUUUGAUGGAUUGAGCUUGAUAUCAUACCUUCUUAAGUUGGCAAAUAGGGCUGGAAAAAAAGCUCGAAGCUCACGAGCUAAACAAGUAGCUCGUGACUCGGCUCAAAUCGACUCGAACUCGAAGAAUAACGAGUCGAGCCGAGCUUUAGUUUAAGAUCGUUUAUAGACCAAGUUAAACGAGCCAAUCUCACGAGUACUCUGUAACUCGUUAGGCUCGAUACAAUAGAUUAGCCACUCCCAAUACAAAGAAAGAUCAGCCGCUAAACAGCUUACGUCCCAGGCGCACAACCCAAGGCCGAGCAGUUGAAGGCCUAGCCUCCUAGGAGACUCACGUGUUACAAGAAAAUUACAAUUGUUUAGUGAUAUAUAUGUUUAAUAUAUACAUAAUCAUUUUUAUCAUAUUUGAGGGCUUUAUGUUUAUAUCUUAAACGAGCUUAACAAGAUAAACGAGCUAGCUCGCGAGUUAUAUGAGUCAAGCCAAUCUUGGGUUUGAGCUCGUUAUAGUAACGAGUCGAGUUGAGCUAGCUCGUUAACGAAACGAGCUCUGGCGAGUCGAGCCGAGCUGGCUCGACUCGGCUCGAAUUCCAGCCCUAUUGGCAAAGGUUUCAGCUAGGUUAGUCAGCAGGUCGGAACCUUUGUGUGACUUAACCACUAUGUCAUCCAUGUAUGCUUCCACGUUCUGACUGAUUUGAGUGAGCAGGCACUUCUGAAUCAUGCGCAUGAACGUGGCACCAGCAUUCUUGAGGCCAAAGGGCAUAGUAACAUAGCAAAAACACCCAAACGGGGUGAUGAAAGCCGUCUUUAUCUCAUCCGGUCCAUACAGUCGGAUCUGAUGGUACCCUGAAUAAGCAUCCAGGAAGGACAGUCGCUCGCAUCCCGCGGUUGAGUCUACUAUCUGGUCGAUGCGGGGCAGAGGAAAAUGGUCUUUCUGGCAAGCCCGAUUGAUGUGCUUGAAGUCAAUACACAUUCGGAGUGAUUUGUGUUUCUUGGGAACCAUAACAACAUUGGCGAGCCACUUGGAGUGGUAUAUCUCGCGGAUGAACUCAGCCGCGAGGACUCGAGCCACCUCCUCGCCAAUGGCCUUUCUCUUCUCCGUGGCGGACCGACGGAGAUGCUCCUUAACGAGUUUUACUUUUGGGUCGACUCGCAAAUGGUGCUCAGCCAGCUCCCUGGGUACACCUGGCAUGCCAGAUGGCUUCCAUGCAAAGAUGUCCCAGUUCUCACGGAGGAACUGGAUGAGCGCUUCUUCGUAUUUGUUGUCGAGUGUUGUUGAGAUAUGGGUCGGAGCAGCAUUGGGGUCGGUCGGGUGAACAUGGACUGGCUUGGUCUCACCGGCCGACUGAAAUGCGGACUCCGAGGCAGGCCUCUUAGCACGUAGCAAAUCACUCGGAUCUGUAGUUUUCUGGUACUCUUGAAACUCUACUGCUACCAUCUGCUCAUCUGCUAUCUUUGCACCGUCCUAAAGACAGUCUUCUUCUCUUUGACGGUUACCGGAAACCGUUAUCACGCCUCUGGGGCCAGGCAUCUUCAUCUUGAGAUAUACAUAACACGAUCGAGCCAUAAAGCUAGCAUAGACAGGUCUGCCCAGAAUGGCAUGAUAGGCACUCUGGAAAUCCACAACCUCAAACGUCAACUUCUCCUUGCGGAAAUUCUUCUCAUCGCCGAAAACCACAUCAAGAGUGAUCUGGGUGAGUGAUUCAGCUUUCUUUCCUGGGAUGAUUCCAUGGAACCGCAUGUUGCUCUCGCUGAGUUUGGACAUCGGAAUGCCCAUUCCUUUGAGGGCCUCAGCAUAUAGAAUAUUCAGACCACUGCCACCAUCUAUCAGAACCUUGGUCAGUCAGGUGCCUCCCACGACUGGGUCGACCACCAGCGAUGCCGCCCAGAGGUAGCUACGCGUACCGGGUGGUCGGAUUGGUCGAAUGUAAUGGGGUUUUUUGACCACUUAAAUACUUUGGUGUUGCCAGAGCAACCAUGUUCACCUCUCUGUUAAUGACCUUCAGUCGACUUUUGCUCUUGAUAUCGGCAAAAAUCACCAAGGUGGCAUUGACAUUGGGGUAACCACCAUCAUCAUCCUUAUCUUCUUCUUCCUUCUCAGACUCUUUGUCCUUAUCACUGGGUUUACUCUCUCGGAAGUUCUAGAUUAGGAGUCGACAUUGUCGAGUGGUAUGCUUGGGGAGAAUCAGGUUCCCCUCCUCAUCCUUCUUGGUGUGAAUAUGACACGGCAAAUCUAUCACAUCGUUUCCUUCCUGGUCCUUCACUUUCUUUGGGAUCCAAGGCCCUUUGGGCUUCCCUUUGAACUUUUGUUGAUUCAACACUGCUGCCUCGACAGGACCUGCUGCCUCAGCCUUUCGCUUCUGCUUUCGACUGGAAUUUCUUCCUCCGGUGUCCUGGGCGACUGUUUUGUGCUUGCCUUUCCUGAGUCGGUCCUCCUCUUCACCGUUAGCGUACUUGGUGGCAAUCUCCAUCAUCCGAGUCAAAGACAUAUCUCCAGUCCGACCGAACUUCAGAUUGAGCUCUUUGUAGCGAACACCUUCCUUGAAGGCACAGACUGCUUGAUGAUCUGACACAUUCUCCACUGUGUGGUGCAGAGUGAUCCAUCUCUGGAUAUAGUCUCUCAAGGUUUCAUUCGGUUUCUGCAUGCAAUGCUGCAACUCCGGUAGACCAGCAGGUCUCUUGCAGGUGCCCUCAAAUGUUCUGGUGAACACUCGGGCUAACUCAUCCCAACUCAAAAUUCUCCCAGUGGCCAACUAGUUCAGCCAAGCCCUGGCAGAACCUUCAACAUCAAAGGAAGGUGCUUCACGGCCACCUCAUCGCUGCCACCACCGAUGUGCACAGCCACUCGGUAGUCUUCAAGCCAAGUAUCGGGCUUCGACUAUCCUGUGAACUUACUGACACCAGUCGCCAAUAUGAAGUUAUGAGGAAUCUCAACGGCUCUGAUGGUUCUUCCGAAACACUCUGGGCCAGAAACGUGGACUCUGCUUCCACUGGGUCUGUCUCUAUCCAGCCCUUCUCUGUACGCUUUGUUCCGGUCGACCAAACCCUGCCCAAGGACGGAUCUUGCAUCGAAGUCAGGCUCUGUGGGGUUGACUAGAACUCUGCGGUCAUUCCCAUACGGACGCCUGUCAUCAUAUCGCCGGGGCGCGUAUGACCCAUCCCUCGGAAGGGGCGAGGGUGCUCGACGGUGGUUGUCGCGGGCGUACUCACGAUCAUAUUCUCCAUGAGCUCUUCCCAGGUGCCGAUCCUGGUGGUGAUCACGACCUCCAUGCCGCAAAGGCGACCUAUGACUGUGUGCCGACUGAACGGUGUUUGCUCUUACUGAUCUGCUGUGGAUUCUGUUCCGCGACUGGGACACAGCGGAGUUCUGGUCUCCUGCUGCUCAGAGCAGCGUUCUGAUCUGUUCCAAGCCUUUUCCAGCCUCCGAACGGGACGACUGAAUGGACUCUGCAAUACGCGCAAUGGCUGCAAGAUUCUGAAUAGGUGUGCGGAAUACCUGAGUUUCCGGUGGAAACAAUUGUCGUGGACGUCGACUGGACUCGGGGAUCAGCCGACGAGCACGCUCGUCGAGAGAAUGUUGGAGAUUCUCCAGACGAGUGCGCUCAGCCAGAGUGGCCAGGCGCACUGCCUCCAAGGCCCGGGACUCGGUGGUUUGCCCUAUGAUGGGGGUCUGGAGAGCCUCCACAUUGCGGCGAUGCAGCUCCUCCCUCUGCUGCGAGCUGAGAAGUUGGUGUUGAUACUCUUCAUGGUCGAAUGAUGGGUCGUCGCUUCUGCCGCCGUCGCCGCUGCGACGAAAACCAGGCGGACCGCGAUGGGAGUAGACCAUGAGGACCUCCGCCGCGGGGUCACAACUCCCGCUCUAGAAAAAGGUAUCUGCGAAAUCAGUCGACAGGUCGACCGGUCCGCAGGGAAAUACGUCGGGCUCGAUUGCCGCGACUUGGGGGGUGAACGCCUGUCGAGCCACCGCGUGUCUCACCCACCGCUGGAGCCACGAACGCCCAGACCGCUUGCGGCGGCGUCCAGCAGAGUGAGACGACGACGCGAUGACCGACUGGUACAGGGAAGACGGCUGCCGAAGGAGGACGCCGCAGGAACUCGUGUGGAAGUGCGACGAGACACGAGCCGGGAGAGCCUCGACAUCGAGGGGGGCCUCCUGGAGCCAGGCAGAGUCGUCGACGACGAAAGUGAGCGCGCCGAGUCAGAACUCGCGGUCCAUGACCAAACCGCCGCCGGAAACCAUGCUGAUGAAGAUCGAAGAAAAUGCAACCUCGCCUGAAGUCGCUAAGACGCUUUGCCCCAUGGUGGGCGCCAACCUAAGUCUGACAGUAAUUAUAGGGGGUACGAAUGAGGAGGCAAGGUCCUAGCUACGGUGAGAUUGUACGCAAGUGUUUACUAGUUCAGGCCCCUCUCGGAGGAGGUAAAAGCCCUACGUCUCGGUGCCCUGAGGCGGUCGACUGGAAUAUGGGAGUAUGUGUUACAGGGGGUGCGAACCCUUGUGCCAGAGGAGGGUGGUGGCUUAUAUAGAGUGCGCCAGGACCCCAGCCAUCCCCCGUUACCAAGAGUUCAAUGUACAUAAAGAUGGGGCAUUACUGAUAACGCCAGCCAUAAAGUGCUUUCAAUGAUCUUAAAGACUACAGAGUGAACGCCUGACCAUUGCUAUUCUGGUCGAUUCCUGGUCUUCGAUAGGUCGAGUGAUUUCCUGUAUGGUCGAAUGAUAUUAAGAGGGAGGGGUAACCGAGUGAGGUGACUGGUCGAGUAGAUUGCACUCGACGCCUUCAAUUGGUACUCCAUGAUGUGUCUUGGAUGUCUUUGCUUCUAGGGUAGUGACCUUGGGUAGGGUGUAUAGGUCAAGCCUAUGACCCUACCCUAGGUCUAUAUCGUCAUCAGUGGCGUCGCAGGAUCUUUGGAUAUGCCAUUCAUUCUCCGGCAUGGCAGGUUCUCACAAUGAUAUCAACGUGUUGCAGCGUUCUCUAAUCUUCGCAAGGCUUUUAGAAGGCCACUCCCCACGUGUCAACUUUGAGAUCAACGGCCACCAGUACAACAAGGGAUACUACCUAGCUAAUGGUAUAUAUCCUCAGUGGUCAACUUUUGUGAAGACAAUCUCGAACCCCCAAGGUGAGAAGAGAAAGAGAUUUGCCCAAAUGAAAGAGAGUGCUAGAAAGGAUGUGGAACGUGCUUUUGGUGUGCUCCAAUCCCGAUGGGGUAUCGUUCGAAACCCUACGCUGACAUGAUAUGAAGGGAAGCUUUGGGAGGUGAUGACUGCUUGUGUGAUCAUGCGCAACAUGAUCGUCGAGGACGAGCGUGAUGACAGCAUCUUCGACCAAGGAUUUGAUUAUCAAGAUGAAAAUGUUGAGCCCCUGCACCAAGAACCGACCAUGUUUGAACAAUUUGCCCAAUUUCAUCGUGAAAUGUGUGAUUGGCACACUCAUUUGGAUCUUCAAAAUGACUUGGUUGAGCAAGUGCGGGCUCACAUUGGCAACCAAUAAAUGUAUUGGUUCAUUAAGACAAUUUCGAUAUGGUUGUAAAACUAUUUUAUUUAGAGACAAUUUCGAUUGGGUUGUAAAACUAUUUUUAUUUGGACGUGCAAACUUGUUUUGAACAUUGAAAUAUGACUAUAUGGGCAUUUUUGGCCGUCACGAACAGGAUGGGGUCAAAGGAUGCGGCCGCGCACUGGGCGCACGGUCACCGCAUCCCAGGACAGGCCCAGACACGGCCUCAUUGCCCUACCCAAACGGACAGAAUUCGUGCCAAACGGACGUCCGUUUGGGGUCGUACGCUAUAGUUGGCCUUACCCCAUCUAAGCACCUGUGUAGACUUGCAAUACUAUCUCUCCUUUACCCACAAAACAAAGAACACUUGUAUCUAAGCACUCUGCACUGUACAAAACCUCAACCUCCCUUUUCCAGAAGAGAGCUAGGCCUCCCUUCCUCCCAACACUUGCUGAAACGGUUUUAAAGGAAGACACUCAGACAUCAAGCAAAGCACGGAUUGCCGCAGCAUUACCCAUGCCAUGGCAGUUCCAAAAUAGAGAGCUAGGCCUCCCUUCCUCCCAACACUUGCUGAAACGGUUUUAAAGGAAGACACUCAGACAUCAAGCAAAGCACGGAUUGCCGCAGCAUUACCCAUGCCAUGGCAGUUCCAAAAUAACAGCUUCAUAGAUGGCAGCGGUCCCCUCCGCGAGACCCCGCCGAUCCUACAAAACUUCCAGAUGCAAUAGCAAGGAGACCUCACGAACAAAACAGGAACCCUAGAUGGCGCAACUACCACCGCUUGAUAGCCAAAGAACAACCAGCGUCUAGGGAGAGUAAAGCAGCAUAGUAGAACAGCUGCUUUCAUUAAAUUAUUAUCAUUAGAGAGAUAAACGCAACAGUUCACCUUUGCCGUUUUACUCUUAAUCUGCCUAAGACUACGAUAGUUACCAACCAGAACAGUCAGUGAUAUACCAAUUCCCAUAUGUAACAGUAAUACGGUAGGAACCAAAGGACUAGCAAACAAUUCCCGUACAUUCCAUCGACCAUUACACAUGCGGAAAUUGAAACAAGCAACUAGAAAACUGCCUGUAAACUUCAGUUAAGAUUCUGUUCACAGCUCGCAGAGAAUACAAAUACGAGAGGCAAGACAUGGCCAGGUAGAAUUCCAGGGGGUGAGGCUUCUCCCUUCCGAGGAACACCGGUGGAUAAGGGCUCUAAUGUUCUAUAUGGAUGCCAUGCUCAUUGGUUACCACCACCACCGCGGACACCGUAUCCCCCUCUGCCUCGCCGCUGCUGCUGACCACGCCGCUGCUGGUUAAACUGAUGGCCAUGGGUAGUAGCAUUUGAUUGCUGCGGUGGCAUGAUCCUCAUCCGCUGCUGCUUCAUCUGUGCAAAGAGCGCAUCCAUUGUCCUUGGAGGCUCAUUCUGCAUCUCCUUACCCUAGCAACAGAAAGAUAACAUUAUUAGCUAUGCUUAAAAAAGGUAUUAGGUGGACAACAAAUGCAAUGCAAAUAUGAAAUGUUUAGGUUGCGUUUCAUGU